Molecule: long non-coding RNA, 81450 nt
Filed under: Populus tremula
Lineage: Eukaryota; Viridiplantae; Streptophyta; Magnoliopsida; Malpighiales; Salicaceae
Description: long non-coding RNA (PTRE_LNC002436)
Source: RNAcentral
UUCCCCUUGGAAGCAUGCCUGACAAAAGAUUGUUACUUAUAUCAAACCACAAAAAUGAUGAUGCAAGAGAAAAGGUACCAGAUACUUGUCCUGCAAAUUUGUUUCCGUCGAGAAAGAGGUACUCUAGGUGAGUCAUGUUGAACAAAGAGAGUGGUAAUCGCCCUUUGAAAUUGUUAUUGGACAGCUUUAAGGACCACAACGAGGAGCCUACUGCUGGAAAAUUAUGCUUAAGCAGUUCACAAGACAUCUGAUUGUUGGAAAGAUCAAAGUAUUCGAGAGAGCUCAUAUUCCCAAAACAAGGAGGAAUACAACCUGUGAGGCUGUUGUUAGCCAUCAUGAAGUUUUUCAAACGUGGAAAAAUCGAACAUAUGUUGCUUGCAAUUUGACCAUGUAUGUUGUUGCCAGACAUAUCUACUGUCUGAAGGUUGGGUGUUGGAUGUUGUGGCAGCUGCAAAAGACUUGUAAAUGAGGUGUCUCUCAAAUAUAGCCGAUUUAACUUUCUAUUAUUCUCAAACAGCCAAGAUGGGAAAGGUUCUCCAACGAAUUUGUUGUGGGAUAGAUCAAGAAACACCAAAUCAUGUUGGCUAUGCAGGAAGUUUGGAAAUCCAGCUCUGAGUGGUUUUGAAGUACAGUUUGAAGCACUGAAGUAACGAAGCUGGAACUUGGGAGCUGAAGGCUGAAAACUGGGUGCAGCUAUCAGCUCAUUGUUAUCGCAUGCAAUGAACUUGAGGUUGGAGAGGUUCAUAAAUGAACCAAAUGUUAUUGGAACUUGAAAGUAGUUACUUGAAACUGAGAGGUAUUCAAGCUGCGUAAGAUGGGAAAGGUGACUAGAGGCAAUAUUUCCCUCCAAUUGGUUGUCAGAUACAUCCAAGAUUUGUAGAGAUGAUAGAUUUCCAAAACAAGGAGGGAGUACGCCCUUUAGAUAGUUUCUUGAGAGAUAUAGCUUUUCAAGAUUCUUCGGUUCACACCAGCCUGCAGAAUAUAUCAAUAUGUUCAUAUAUCAAUUAUGUAAUUGCUUGGUGAGGUUUUAAAGUUUUAGUUGAUUCUUGUUUCAUUACCUAGGUCGGUUUUAGAUUAUAUUUAAACAACUUUGUUUGUUAGUUUUUUAAAAGAUUAAUUAUCUAUAUUAUUGAUAUUCAUAAUUUUUUUAAUUCAAAGUUUUUUCUAUAAUUUAAGACAGAGAAAUUUUAGAGAUUCAGAAACUCUAGAUUUUAUCCUUUUCUAUACAUAACAUUAUGAGUAAAUUUCUAGUUUAAUAAAACAUAGAUAUAACAAAAUAUCUAAUGAACAACUGUUAUUUGGAUUUCAAUACUCUUAUAAUUGUUCAUUUGUAGAAUUACCAUCCCAAUAUCCAUAUAAAUUCAAUGAAAUAUAAAUUUGUGUGUUAAUUUUUUGAUAUUAUAUCAAUAUUUUAAUAACCAAAUAUUCAUGAAUUCUAACAUAUCACAUAUAAAUUCUAACUAGUUGAUCCUUUAAUAAAAUUUUAAAAAUUGAACAAAAGUUAAUGGUUAAUACACAUCUAUUUAUUAGACAAAUUCACUAAAGAAUAAAUUAAGCCUCACUAAGGAAUGUCAUCCAAGGAAGGAAUGAUUUACAACUUUACCAUUGAGACCAGUUGAUCCUGUGAACAUAUUGUCUGAUAGAUCUAGAGAUUUGAGAGUUGAAAAUCCAUUGAGAGAUGAUAAAAUGCUGUCGUUAAAUUUAUUGUUACUUAGAUAAAGUUCCUCCAAAUUCCUCAACCCUGAAGCUAGGACUUGAAAACCUGAAAGAAAAUUGUCGGAAGCAAAGAAAUUAACAGAUAUAUAUAUCAACCAUCCCAAUAUCCAUAUAAAUUAAAUGAAAUAUAAAUUUGUGUGUUAAUUUUUUGACAUUAUAUCAAUAUUUUAAUAACCAAAUAUUCAUGAAUUCUAACAUAUCACCUCCAUUCUUUUAAUAAAAUUUUAAAAAUUGAACAAAAGUUAAUGGUUAAUACACAUCUAUUUAUUAGACAAGUUCACUCAAGAAUAAAUUAAACCUCACUAGGGAACGUCAUUUGAGGUAGGAAUGAUUUACAACUUUACCAUUGAAACCAGUUGAUUCUGUGAAUCUAUUGUUUGAUAAAUCUAGAGAUUUGAGAGUUGAAAAUCCACUGAGAGAUGAUAAAACACUGUUGUUCAAUUUAUUGUCACUUAGAUAAAGUUCCUCCAAUUUCCUCAACCCUAAAGCUAGGACUUGAAAACCUGAAAGAAGAUUGUCAGAAGCAAAGACAAUUAAAAGAUUUAUAUAUCAACCAUUUCAAUAUCCAUAAAGAUUCAAUGUAAAGUUACUUGAAACAUAACUAACUUUAUGUGUUAACUAAAAAAAAAUUGAAAGCAUAGAACCUUGGUUCUUUAAGCCACCAACUAAUUGGUUGCCGCUUAAGUCGAGAAUCUCCAGUUCUUUGAAAGGCAGAAACAAAGGUGCAUUGAGAUCCAAGUCUUCGACUGCAUCAUAAUUUACAUAUGAAAGAUGUAGUUCGAUCACUCGGUUUGUGGUGUUGUCACACACAACCCUAUAAUAAUCCCAGUUACAGCAAUUAAAGUGCUCUUUAUCCCAACGUUCUAGCGGAUCAUAGGACCCAGCUGCACGUGCAUGAUAGAACCAAGCUUUUAUCUCUAAGAGACUAACUCUCUCUUCCUCCACACAACAAUGGCUCCGGUCGUUGAGGAAGGCCAGUGCCAUGAGCAGCAUCCACACCCACAUUUGCCUCAUCUUCAUAUUAACGCUCCUACUUGACAAAAUACAAAAGCAAGCAAGCUGUCUCUUAUAUACAAAUUAAUUUGUCCUCUUCAUUUGAUCGGACUUAAUUAUCUGUAUCAUUGAAUUUUCUAUGCUGAAUUAAUUAUCCAAGGGAGACUUGGGCUGAAUUGAAUGGGAGAAUCUUCACGGACAGAUCCAGGGGCCCGCACCACGGCACAGAUCGCUCGGUUUGUGGUGUUGGAUUAAAGGAUAUUAAUUCCAACUUCUUGUUUACUGCUUUACUUUUCUUCAUAGACUUGGGAAGUCAGGUGCUGUAUAUGAACAAUUGAUUUGAUCUUAUGAAAUACACGGCAGAAGAGAUUAGAAAAUGACUUCUAUUAUCAAUAAUUUCUUCUUACUGCACCUACUGAUUUUUAUUUCUUUUGAAAUAUUUAGAAUAUCUCUUUUGAAAUAUCAAUAUCGCCUACCCCACUUCCUUCAUUUUUGUUAACGGAGUGAAAUGAUUUCAACACGUGUCCAUGCAUCUGCCAGCUACCCUAAUUAAUCUGCACUAACAGUGACCAUAACAGCUGUAACAAUACUCCCUCAAUACUUGUAACAUCAUCCUAAUAUAUAUAUAAUAGAUUGGAAGCAUGCAUGGGUUUCUUACAUGAUUAACUAAACUUAAUCUUGUAAUAUUGAAUUAUUUGAUGAAAACAUUAUCUAAAACAAGAUUAAUUGAUAUAUUUAAAGUCAAAUAAAAAACAAACCCUGCUUAUUUUUAAUAUUAAAAAUUAUUUCUAACAUAAAUUUUUAACAUAAUAAUUUAUCAAAAUUAAAAUAAAUUAGAAUCACCGUUUGAGCAAUUGAUUUGAUCUUGGGCCCACAAUUAUUUUCAUUAGCCUGUUAAUAUUUUUCUUCAAGCUUGUGGAACAGGUUGUUCCUUUAGGCUACUUUGCUUCUUCUUUUUUUUCUUCUUAGACUUGGGAAGUUAUUUGUUUGAACAUUUAAUUUAAGUUUUUAUGGUUGUUUGUUUUUGUGUUUUAAAAGUAUUUUUAAAUAAAUUUUAAAUUUUUUAAUUUUUUUAUUAACUUCAAAUUAAUAUAUUUUUAGUGUUUUCAAAUCAUUUUGAUAUGCUAAUGUCAAAAAUAAUUUUUAAAAAAUAAAAAAAUAUUAUUAAUAUAUAUUUUAACAUAAAAAAUUAUUUAAAAAACAAUAAUAUAAUCUCAUCAUCCAAUAUCGCUUGUUUUUAUUCUUCGUAGACAUGUGAAGUAAAGAUUCCCAAUUAUCCACUGCAUCAAUCUCUAUCCCAUCAAAAUGAAUUUGGUGCAAGAAAAAAAUAUCUAAUAUAUGUGAUUUACUCAUUAUGCAUAUUUAAGAUUGCUAAAGGAAAAUAUUUAGUUUAAUUUCACAUAUAAGCUAAUUCGAUAACACUUUUUAAUAUAAAACCAAAAAAAAAAAGAGUGCUAUCGUCAUCAACUUUAUUUGGUUUCAAUUUAUGACGUUUGACAUAUAAAUUCUGUUCAAUUUAAAUCAACUUUUCAAUAAAUAGUGAAUGUUAAUGAGCACAGUAGCGAGAACUAAGCAGUGUUAUGUGUACUUGGAACCAAGGUUGUUAAAAUCGUGUUUUGACUCGUAAAAUCGUACGAUUUUACGAGUCAAAACAUGUAUUACGGGUUGAAUCGCUUGAAAAAAUCAAAAAUAGCUAAAAUCGGGUUGAAAUCGAGUGAAAUCGCGAUUUCAGGACCGAUUUUGCGAUUUUGACAAAAUAAGGCCCUGAAACAAAAUCCUCCCUCCUGGAUAGCUGUCAUGCCUAUUGGAUUAUUCCUGCACAGUCUUACUCAUACACAACGUUUCAUGUCUUCCUUAGCUCUCGUGUCUAGCGUGAAUAGGAAGGUCCCCGUGUUGGUCAAGCAGGAAUGUCUGGAACUAGUUGCUAUGUGUAAUAAAAAAAACUUUGGCAGGAUAUGAACAGAAUGAAGAAUUACAAAGAUGAAAUCUCUCUCUCUCUCUCUCCCCUUCCUUCUUCUUAUCUCUUUCACCAUUCAUGCUGCAACCCUCCUGUUGAUUUCUGGAAAUGGUUCAGAACCAUUCCAUCGCAUUCAAUUCCCCUGGAUAUAUUUCUGGAAAUGUAAUUUUUAAUCUAUUAAUUUUUUUUAUAAAACAUAUUAACCGAAUAUUAUUUCAAUUUCACUCGAGUUUUAUGGUAGAAACUGGUGAAGUGUGUGUAUAACACCUGACAAUAUUUUAAGAUGCUUGAACUAUAUAUGAAUUUUUAUUUGAAGGCUUGAAAUAUGUAUGAAAUUUUAUUUGAAACAUGUUUUUUAAUGUGCUUGAACUAUGUAUGAAUUUUUAUUUGAAACAUGAAUUUUUUUUAAUGUAUUUCAAAAUUCCUUACGAUUUUACGAGCCGUUUUUACAAUCCGAUUUUGUGAAGGGCUUUCCGUUUCGUUCUAAAAUCGCGAUUUUAACAAUCUUACUUGGGACUGUGAAUAAUGUACACUUUAGCUCUCUUCAUACAGUCAAUUGACUUUGACACAGUAAAAAUGAAAAAAAAAUUACUCCGUCGAUUGGUGAUUAAACUACAAUACUAAAUAUACCAACUCUGUGGAUUUGUGAUUAAACUUGGAAAAAAACAACAAUACUAAAAAAAGCCAUAUGUGAAUUUGUGAUUAAGAAAAUUCAUUAUUUUAUUUUUUGACAUAUUAGGUUCCACUAGAUGCACCCAGUCAAUGUGAGUGGUUGUCUUUUUUAUUAUUUAUGAGGAUCCAAUUGAUGCAUCAAGUCUAGGGCUCCACAAUCACUGUCACUAGUCAAUUCCGCCAACUUGUUGCGUAAACUACUUUGCUUUCUCUUCAUAUAUAGACAUGGAAAUCAUGUGGAAUCAAAAAAUUUAUUCCUUAACCUUUUUCAUGGAAUGAAGUGAUUUCCCAGUAGCAUCAUCAUCCACUUGCACUUUUUUUUUCUUCGUAGACUUGAGAAGUCGGUCAAGAUUCCCAAUAUAUUAUCAACAUCAUCAAUUUAAAAAAGAAAUAUAUGUUAGGUUGAUUUAUAUGUUAGGCUGAUUUACUUCCAUAUUAAUUAUUGUUUGAAUAUUCUUAAUCCGAAUGAUAUUAGUCCAUUCAAAACAAAUUCAUUUUCUUUUUUUAUAAAUAUAUUUAUAUAACUACCAAAGAAGAAAAUGCAUUGAUUAAAAUAUUAUUAAUCUGUUUGAAUGAAGAAAGUUAAGGCAGAGAUGACCAACCUAAACACCGUGUGGGCCAAUAAAAUUGAAAACAAAAGAUAAUAUCAAUGGCUUGCAAAAAAAAAGGGUUUGUGUUAAAUUUAUCUAUAUGUUAAAUUACUUGAUUUACUAAACUUAAUCAUGUAAUAUUGAAUUAUUUGAUGAAAACAUUAUCUAAAACAUGAUUAAUUGACAUAUUUAAAGUCAAAUAAAAAACAAAUCCUGCUUACUUUUAAUAUUAAAAAUUAUUUUUUAAUCUAAACUCUUUAGCAUGAAAAUUUAACAAAAUUAAAAUAAAUUAUGAUUACUAUUUGAGCGAUUGAUUUGAUCUUCGGCCCCACAAUUAUUUUUGUUAGUCUGUGAAUGUUUUUCUUCAAGCUUGUGAAACUGGAUAUUCCUCUGUAAUGUAAGUUCCUUUGUUUUUUUUCUUCGUAGACUUGAAAAGUCAUUUGUUCGAACAUUUGAUUUUCUGAUAAGUCAAUCAUCCACUGCAUCAAUCUCUAUCCCAUUGUUAGUCUGUGAAUUUUCUAUGCUGAAUUAUCCAAGGGAGACUUGGGCUUCAUUGAAUGAGAGAGUCUUCACGGCACAGAUCGCUCGGUUUGUGGUGUUGGAUUAAAGGAUAUUCCAACUUCUUGUUUACUGCUUUGCUUUUCUCCGUAGACUUGGGAAGUCAAGAUUCCUAUAAUCCACAUCAUCAAAAAAACCCAAAUCGAUAAUGUGGUGUUGGAUUAAAGGAUAUUAAUUCCAACGUCUUGUUUACUGCUUUACUUUUCUUCAUAGACUUGGGAAGUCAGGUGCUGUAUAUGAACAAUUGAUUUGAUCUUAUGAAAUACAUGGCAGAAGAGAUUAGAAAAUGAUUAACAGAUAUAUACAUCUCAACCAUACCAAUAUCCAUAAAGAUUCAAUGUAAAGUUACUUGAAAUAUAAUUAACUUUAUGUGUUAACUAAAAGAAAAUUGAAAGCAUAGAACCUUGGUUCUUUAAGCCACCAACUAAUUGGUUGUCGCUUAAGUCGAGAAUCUCCAGUUCUUUGAAAGGCAGAAACAAAGACGCAUUGAGAUACAAGUCUUCGACUGCAUUGAGAACAUCAUAAUUUACGCUAUAAAGAUUUAGUUCGAUCACUCGGUUUGUGGUGUUGUCACACACAACCAAAUCCCAGUUACAGCAAUUAAAAUGCUCUUUAUCCCAACCUUCUAGCUGAUGGGACCCAGGUGCACCUGCAUGAUUGAACCAAGCUUUUAUCUCUAAGAGACUAACUCUCUCUUCCUCCACACAACAAUGGCUCCGGUCGUUGACGAAGGACAGUGCCAUGAGCAGCAUCCACACCCACAUUUGCCUCAUCUUCAUAUUAACGCUCCUACUUGACAAAAUACAAAAGCAAGCAAGCUAUCUCUUAUAUACAAUUUUGUCCUCUUCAUGCAUUUGAUCGGACAGUGACAAUUAUCUGUAUCAUUGAAUUUUCUAUGCUGAAUUAAUUAUCCAAGGGAGACGUGGGCUUCAUUGAAUGAGAGAGUCUUCACGGCACAGAUCGCUCGGUUUGUGGUGUUGGAUUAAAGGAUAUUCCAACUUCUUGUUUACUGCUUUGCUUUUCUCCAUAGACUUGGGAAGUCAAGAUUCCUAUAAUCCACAUCAUCAAAAUGAAUGUGAUCGAAGAAAGGAAAAAAUGAAAAAAAAAAAAAAACAUUAACAGUGGCUUACAAAAAAUAAAUAAAUAAAUAAAACCAUCAAUUACGAGCUUCAUAAGAUAAUUUUAGCUUAAAAAAACCCAAAUCGAUAAUGUUUUCUUUAACAUUGGUAUCCGUUUAAUCAAUCUUCUGGUUUGAUCCUUGAUAGUGCUGUGUUUUGAUGCUUGUCGAUUAGCCACAAUAAUGUUAAAUUUACAAGGACAGAUCCAAGAAAAGCAAUGCAGGCCUGUUUUGGUCUCUGGGAGUCCCCUGAUAAAGGCUGCAACUAUUGCUUGAACCCUUGUAAAGGGGCCUUUACACAUGCGGUCCACUGAGAAGUACAACACCGUUCUUUAUUUAAUUCUUAUGGUUUAAAUCUACUAAUAACUUAGUCAUUUUGCAUGCUAUUUUUCCACUUGUUUUGUAAAAUAGAGAAAAGAACUGUUAAGCAUGCUGGAUAUUUCGCAUAAUAAGCUCCGGGUCCUUUAUCCUCUUGUUUGUCCAAUUUAACUUUCAUGGCAAACGAUGCAAAAUGCUAUGUAUCUUUUACUUGGCCUAGUAUUCAAUAUUUUGAUCAGUCAAAUCUUGUACUCAUGGGUUUGCCUCAAGUAGGCGAUUCUUAUCGGGAAAAUAAGUACACAAACAACAUUGCAGAUUAAUCUGUCGAGUUCUCAACAAAAAGACAGUCAUACUCCUAUCGAGAUGUGACGCGGAACAAUAAGUAAAAAGAAUUAAAGCAAGAAAAGAAAGAAGCUUUAAAGAAGAAAGAAGCUAAAGAAGAGGAGGAGAGGGGUUGGAGAUGUGCAAAUCUGCAAUUUUCAUUCAUUCAAAAAAUGUCUUCCCAAAUGACAAAGAGCAUAUAAAUAGUCUCAACCUAGAACAUCCUGCUAUUGGGCUUGGCCCAUCAAACCAAAUUGUUUAACAUAAAUAAUAAAAAUAACAAUGAGCAAGCCCAAAUGGGCUAAAUAAAUAAAAUUACAAUGAGAUAGGCCCAAUGGGCUUAGUCUCCCAACCAAAGCGUGACAGGCUGGGCCAUCCUACGUCGUCUCCGUCCAUAUACUCGUGUAAUCUGUGGCGUGGGCCUGGUGUCCUCACCAACUCUCCUGGGGUUAGAGAAACUCGACCUUGUCGAGCGUAGCAGUGGCCGACUCUGAUAGUACUCCCAAAGAUCUGGGUCAAGCUGCUGCAAAGUAUCUCUAGUAAUCCAAGUGCAGUCUGAGUCGGGUCGACCCACCCAGCGAACUAGAAACCGCUGAAUCUCACCAUUCCUAUUAAAAACAACUUGUUCAUCCAGAAUAGCAUCAAUAUUAUCCUUUUGUGCUGAUGUCAAAGUAAAAAGGGAUAGGGGUUUAUUAGGAUCAUCAGGAGGGGGUUAAGUGGUGUUCAAUGGGUCAUUUGGAAUAGGAAGUGGUUUGUGGUAUGCAACUAGAUCCUCAAUGUUAAAUGUAGAGCUAAUGCCAAAAUCAUGUGGUAAAUCAAGAACAUAAGCAUUUGGACCAACCCGUUGUAGCACUUUGAAAGGCCCGCACUACGUGCAUGCAAUUUUCGAUUAGCUCCCGAAGGAAACCGUUCGGGUCUAAUCCGUUAUCAUAGUCUCCAACAUUAAACUCAUUAUGUCGUCUAUGUGCAUCAGCUUGAAGUUUAUAUUGCGCAUUACUUGCUUGAAUUUGUUUAGUGAUCUCAAUAUGCAAAUCCUGAAUUCUACGUGCAAAAGACUCGGCUGACUCAGACACUCUAGCAUGAAGGGACAUGGGAAGAAGAUCUAAAGGUUUCCUAGGCUUGUAACCAUGUACAACUUCAAAGGGACUCAUGCCUAUUGACCUAUUGAUGAGCUAUUAUAGGCAAACUGGGCUAGGAAGAAUCAGAUCCCAAUUCCGAUUAUGAUCACUCACUAGACACCUUAAAAGGUUACCCAAACUCCUGUUAACCACCUCAGUUUGACCAUCAGUUUGGGGUGGUAAGCAGUAGAAAACUUCAAUUUGGUUCCCACCAUAUGCCAAAGGGUUUUCCAGAAAUAACUUGUAAAUCUAACAUCCCUAUCUGAAACUAUGGUUUGGGGAAGGCCGUACAACUUGACAAUCUCGUCAAAAUAGAGUUUUGCGACUCUGGAAGCAUCUGUGGUCUUAGUACAAGGAAUAAAAUGGGCCAUCUUAGAGAAGCGGUCGACAACCACAAAAAUAGAAUCAUGUUUCUUUGCAGUACGUGGAAGCCCAAGCACAAAAUCCAUGCUUACAUCUUGCCAAGGGCAAGUAGGCACGGGUAAUGGAGUGUAAAGACCAGUAUUUUGUUUUCUAUGCUUAGCGAGUUGGCAAGUUCGACACUGACCUACUAAUUUGGCGACAUCUCUUUUCAAACUAGACCAAAAAAACUGACGUUCCACUUCUUCGAUGGUUUUAUUCCUUCCAAAAUGUCCUGAGAGACCUCCAACAUGAAUCUCCCAUAUCAAAAAAUCACGCACAGAUGUUUUCAGGAUACAAAGCUUAUUAUCUCGAAAUAGGUAUCCAUCUUGGAGGUGAUAACCAUUUAUAACACGGUGAUGCGCAUCCUUCAAUGUCAAGUAUAUUUCUCCAAAUUCUAGGCAAGAUUCAUACUCCUCCUUAAGUCUCUCAAAUCCUGUGACUCCAACACUCAUUACAGAUAACAACGUCACCCGACGACUCAAAGCAUCUGCAGCCUUAUUCUCUAUUCCAGAUUUAUGUUUCAAAACAAAUGAGUAUGCUUGCAAAUAUUCAACCCAAUGACCAUGCCUAUUGUCGCACCCUAAAAAAAAUCAGCUCGCGGCAUCGGCUGGCGAUUUUUCUCGUUUGUUUGUCGUUGCUUGAAUUUGGUUCGUUGGAGUCGCCACCUAGUAAUUGAUUGCGGGCUACUAGGAAACCGGCUGUACUGGUCUUGUCAGAGAUUCGUGGGUACGGGACUGGUUGUGGUUAGGGAAGGUAUUAGCACCCCUAACACACCCUACCUGAGGUAAGCUGCUUCGCGAAUUUGAUGUAUUAAAGAAGUUUUAAUAAUUGUCUUUUCAUCAGAAAUUAGAAAUAUCACUUACGUAUAAGUUAAUAAUUCUUAACCAAGAUCCGAUCAAAAUAUUAAAUUCUUCUUUAAUAUAUUUGCAAUUUUAUCAUUAAAAAAUAUAUACAAAUAAAUAAAAACAAAAUACAAACACACACGUACACUUCCACUAUUUUUGUUUCUUUUCUUUUUUUCUUUUCUUUUCUUUUACAUCCAUAUUUACAAAACAAAUAGACAAUCCAAAAAAAAAUAAAAAAAAAAUACAUCAAACAAUUUAAAAUUACAAAACAGCCCCUAAAACAUCCUAAGGCUUCUAGAACAUGCAGGAACAGUGCACGAGAACAGUGCUGGGAGGCUUCUGGUGCAGAGAAUCAGUUGAUGCUUGCCAUUUGUUCUCAGUUAUACUAAGAAAGAAUGAACCGCGACUCUGUCCACCAUUCUCUCCUGUGCAUGAACAAAUCAGUGAAGGAAUAUUUGCAGUGAUAAAUAUGUUAAUGGUUUCCUGACUUCAUUAGAAUAUUUUGCUCCCAUUUUCUUUGCUCCAUGAACUGAAUAUAUAUUGCAACAUAAUUGUGGUGUUGUCAAUCACGGCAAUUAUGCACAUAAAUCCUUACUGGCGCCGCAGGUGGUUUUACUUCAUUGAAGAAUCGCAACUAUUAUGCUGCUGUUUUCUAGCGGUUAGUUUCCGUAAGCUGUCCAACAUCAUGUCAUCGAACCUCUGUAUAAUCAUUCAAUUAGAUGACACAUUUAAAAAUUUUAAAAACUAAUAAUACUAUAACUAUGAAGAACACCUAAAAUAUUUAAUUUUAUUCUUCCAAGUCUCUGCUAAACUAAUUAUACACAAUUGUGGUACUAGCAAUUGCGGCAGUUUUGUACAUAAACCCAUAUUGGCGACAUAGGUGGUUUUACUUCAUAGAAGAGUGCAUGGAGACUUGCUACUACUUUGAAUUGCAUACAUUUCAUAAGCUAUCCUCCUUCAUAAGGCCAUAGGGUCUGACGCGUGCCUUUUGUUUUUUCAUAUUUUUUAGUUUGAACUAAUAAAACCUUUACUUUUUUUCAAGCUUCAGUUAAUUUUAUUGCAGUUUCUCAAAUGAAUUCUACAAAUUCAAGAUAUAUAUGCAUCCUUAAUGCCAUAUUAAAGAGAAUAUAUAGAUAGGAAGAAGAGGAGCUUUACGUGAUAUGGAUAGCGAGAUGCUCCUAAGCCUAGAACCAGCUAAAACUUAAUAUUAUGAUGAAUAAUUCAGCAAAACUUAAUUCAAUUUCAACUUCCAUUCUCAUCAUUAGUACAAAAUGCAGAGUCAGAUUGAAAGGAAAAUGAUUGGAACUUGAAAUUCAGGUAACAAUACAUCUAGCAGAGCUUCCUCCUUACCCUCUCCCUAUUGUAUCUUCUUCGAGUGGAACUCUUAGCUUUUUGCCCUCCAAGAUAAAUGUUCUCAUCUUUCUCCAGUACUCUCUGAUAACUCAGAGAGCAGCCGCCCUGUAUAUUCCCUUUUUUUUUUAUUAUUAUUCAAAACGUUAUAGAGAAGUUCUUUUACAGAGAAACCCUUUUUAAGAUAACCAUCUAGAUAAAUAACAUUAAUCCCAUAUAUAUCAGGAUAUAUACAAUUACAAAAUAUUAAAAUAUAAUUUUUAUUUUAAAUUUUACAGCUCACGCUAACAUUAAUUCCUAAACAGUACAGCUCACGCUAACACUCUCUUUUCCAUCCAGCAUAAGCAGUCACAACUUACCUCCACGGAAAACUUUAUAGCCAACUUCAACCAAUAUUUAAAAGGAAUUUUGUCCUAUGUUUGAUAAGCAAAAUCAACAGAACCUGUCGUUGACUUUCUAGCUCAAAUUUAGCAGUAGCCAUUUUAAGGAGCAGAAACAAACACUGUACUUUUAUCAUCACGAAAAUCUGGUUGAUUUAUUAUCACGAAAAUCGAAAAUCUAGUUGAUUUAUCAUUACGAAAAUCUAGUUAAAACAAAUUAAUAUGAAAUCAAAUCGAGGAUGAAAGGUUGAUUUUGAGAUCAAGAAUAGCAUGUAUUAAAAAGAUAAUAAAUAAAAUUAGAGUAAUAACAUUGAUACAACUUAUCAUUAAAUUUCAUUUGCAAUUUCCUCUCGAUUUUCUGUAGUUCUGUAGAGACAUAGAUUAGUUGGUUCUUACGGGAAUUUUUCUUCCUUAAUUUCACUCCCAUUUCCCAAACGAUGGAAUUCAUACAACCUUUCGAUUUUAUUUCCACGUAAAAUCCAUUCUUCUCUAUCAAACAGAACAUAAUAAUGGGCCAUAUUUUAAUUUAAAUAUAUUUUUCCUAAUAUUUAAAGUUUUUUUACUGGGAAAAUAUCAUGGGGAUUUGAGAGAAAAGACAAUAGAUAAGAAAGGACAAGAAAAAAAGUGAGAGAAAAUGAUGGUGGGUCUUCAUUCUUCAGGGACCGUAUUGGAACUCUUUGGAGGCAUGCGUGAGAGGUGAAAUGGGAAAGUAUAGGGAACAAAGUGUAAUGUCAAUGAAUAUAUAGGGCUUAAAAUGCAAUUUACCCUUAAUUUUUUCGUGGAUGACGCAGUCACAAGGAGAGGAUAGAUGUCAUUUCUGAAAUGAUAAGACAGAAGUGACAAUAAGUAAAAUUUCGUAAAUCAUCAUCAAUCAAAAAUCAUGACGUGGGGACAAAUCACAUAAUUGAUUGAUUUUACAACCCUUUAAAACAAACUCAUCAAAAUAUUUAAUCCAAAUUCUGAAUAAACAACAAUAUCUAAUGUAGAUAGGUUUGAAUAAUUUGAUGAUUAUUAAUAGUCAAUUGUAGAUUUAUCACAAUUAGAUCAUAUAUAUAAAACCCAAUAAACUCAUAAUACGAACAAAUAUAACUGGGCUAACUUAAGAAAAAAAUACAUUGGUGCAAAAUGACUAGUCUAACUAAAAAAGUUUAAAUUUUAAUUUGACCUCAUGGAAAUCAUUCUCAAAUUUAAUUAGGAGAUUUUAUGGUUUCUAUUCUAUAAAGGGUGUGUGUAGGCUUGAAAGAAGUUAUGCGUGCCAAUUUCGUUAUUUUUUUAAUCUUUUUACAAUUCUAGUUUAAUUUUGGAUUUUAUAUUGUAAGAACCUAUAUCAUAUCAAGAUUAAAUUUCAGUAAAAAAAAAUAUUAGAAUUCUAGUUGUGGAGAGUUUUUUUAUAUAUAGAAUUACGUUUUUCUUUGAGCUUGUUUUUUUCUUAACCGGAUCAACUACAUCAAUCUCCUAAAAAAACGAAAAAAAAAAAAGUUGGGAAUGAAAACUUAAGUGAAAUUUAACAGUCUGCAACAACAAUCCUUUACCGUCCACCAUGAAAUGAUCAACAGGUUUUUUUUAAGGACAAUAUAAAUUCUGAAAGAGCGUAGACAUGAAUGACAGCCAAGAACCACCCAACAGCCAUGCAGGGUCUAGUCUGCAUGGCAAAGGUCCCCUCAAUCGCUGAAUCCACAUGAACACAGUCUAAUGAACUGCUAACAUGCAUUUGGUUGUGGUAAUUCAAUUAUGCGAAGGGUGUCGGUCCGAAUUCUUCAACUUAAACGAACAUGUUUGCGUAAUUAAGUGUUCAAUCACGUACUUAAUUUGCUAUUGAAAACAUUUAGAAUUUAUCAACAAUUUAAUUAAGCAGGUGUAUACAACCUCCCAACAUUUGUAGAUAUCAUUGAAUCAUUAGUUAACACCAAGUAGACUGAGAUCGGAUCAAAAUGUGUCACUUAAGCUCUUAAUAUUACAGAAAACUUACAAUUGCCCUGAUGGUUAAUUAGCACAAAAGACCGGCUUGGAGUUCAGACUAGCCAAAUUGCCCAACUCUUUAAGCCUGAAUUUUAUCACCAUCAUAAAAUGGGAAAAUUAGUUUAGAUAUACAAGGCGAAAUGGAAUUAAUUACCUAACAAUUUGAACUUCAGAUUGGUCAUGCAUGACCACUUGCAGGUCCUCCUAGUGUUAGAACCACACCUUGAAGAUCACUUCUUGGAUCUGAUUCUUUGGCUAAUGAUGGAGCAGCUCUGAUUACCGGAUAUGUUCUGGUCACUUGAGUUUGUCGAGAACUAUGACUGGAUUGUCCUGAGAAUGUUUUUGGAUGAUGAGAAGGCUUCAAGGUAUCAGUAUGAAAUUCAUUCGAAGCACCACCCAGAAACCAGUGCUCAAAAAGCCCCUUUAUAAAGAUAACUAACAGAGAAGGUCACAGACAGCAGAGGAGGUCAGCAUCACCAUCGAUUUCCUUUCUCCAGAAGCAGGGGUUUACCACCACAUCAACACCCAUCUUCCCCGAUCUCUUCAUCUCCUUUAGCACUGAAGAGAAACCGAACGGUGGAGCAGAGAACACAGACAGCAGAGGAGGUCAGCAUCACCAUCGAUUUCCUUUCUCCAGAAGCAGGGGUCUACCGCCACAUCAACACCCAUCUUCCCCGAUCUCUUCAUCUCCUUUAGCUCUGAAGCUUCCUCCAGCAGUGGCCAACACACGGCAGCCCCUACAAAACCAAAAUGAGAUAAAUCUCAAAGAGAAAGAAAGACUCGAACUUGUGUAGCAGAUCUGGACCGAGAUCCAGCCGCCAUCAGCUCUGGCGAUGCCUAACAACCAGAUGUGCUACAGGGAUGAACUCUCGGGCAACAAACAGUGAUAGACUCGAAAGAAGCCAAUCUAAAGGAGGAGAAGGAAAAAAACGCAGAUCUGUGAAAAAAAGACAAUAAUCGAAACUCAAUUAAGAAGAAAUCAUCGCACAAACAAUCUCCCGGACCGGUUGUUGAUUUGGAUCCUUUCCCAAUUGAGGAUGGAAGACUACGGGAAAGAGGAGAUUGGUUGGGGUGGGGAUUGAAGCUGUGAUUUGGGAUCGGUUCAGUUUAUCAAGCAGACUUCAAGAGGUAAGACCCUAUACAAUAACAGUAACAACAAAGAGAACUUUUCAACCCAGCCAUGGAGGGGAAAGCUCUCUCUCAAAAAGCCCAGCCACCGUUCCAGACAAACUUAAUUCCUUCUCACAAACACAAAAAAGAACUUGACCUUCCAUACAAGCCAUAUUACCCCCAGCCUCAGCUACCAUCCAUCACCUUAAACACUCAGACUUCAACAAACUACCGUGAUUUUCAACUACAAUGUUACUUUGAAAACUUCCUAAGUUGGGUCGAUUACCAUAAGCUUAAAGACUGCUUCAGAAAACAGGGGAAAGUUAUUAAGCUGUUUGUUUCUCGAAAAACAAAUCAAGCAGGAAAGCAUUUUGGCUUCGUCACCAUCCUCUCGAAUCUGUCAGACAAAACUCUGCUAGAAUGCUUAAAUGACAUAUGGUUUGAUUCCUACAAGCUGAGAGUUAAUGUGGCUAAGCACAGAAGAAAAGAUGUAGUGACGAAACAGAAAAUAAUGGGAACCGGGAAACAAAUACCCAAGCUCAACAACAAAGCCAAGGCCCCCAUCCGUGUAAGAGACAACCGAAGCUAUCUUGAGGCAGUAAGAUCAGGGAGUCAAGUGCAUCAAGCGUCUGAUAAUGCCACACCACGUCAUCAUAACUUCAUUUCUUUCAACACUACAGAUGAGGAAAUUCUAUGGUUAAGAAAUAGUCUUAUAGGCAAGAUAUCUCAGGGAGUAGAUUAUGCACAAAUCAGACAUGGAUUAAUUCAGCUAGGCAUUUGCUUCUCUGCUUUCCGUUUCCUAGGGGGAUCACAGGCAAUCAUAAGCUUUGAUGGUGAGAAAUCUAUGCAACAAGCCAUGCAGAAAGGUAUGGAAUGCUGGAGGCUCUACUUUGAUGAAGUUCACCCGUGGACUGAAGAAGAUGUGACAGAGAGUCGUCUAGCAUGGAUCUCUAUCUCUCAUUUGCCUAUCUCUGGCUGGAGUUUGAGAUGUAUCUCAAACCUUCUCAUGAACCGUGGACGGGUGAUAGGUUUUGACAAAACCAGCCUAAAAAUCUCUGAACUUCACAGUGUGAAAAUCCUUAUAGGUACUCACUUGCCGGAGAUCCACGACUCUAUAGCUCUCAUGCUAAACUCCAAGUUAGUACACAUAUAGCUGGAUGAGAUUGACCUUUUAAGAUAUCCAGAGGCAAAAGGAAUUUCAUACUCGAUGGCAGAAUUUCAAACCACAUUACUUCAGGGAGAUAGUGCUGACAGUGACUCAGAUGAUGAAGUGUACACUGAUCUUGCUUUUGACUUGGCAGGAGAUGACAACAUUUGCAGGCUAGGUAUCACUGAUAAGAAUUGUGGAUCUGAUGACAAGGGACACACGAUGGAGGUAAGGAAGCACAACCCAUAUGGGACACAUGAGGUGUACGAUCAUAGCUUUGCGUCCACAAUAAAUGCCAUUGACAACACAGAACGGCUACAUAUCGUUGUUGACGAUCUCUUUUACGAUGUGAAUUCAGCAAGCCCACUAGAGCAUCCAAGCAUGGCUUUCAAAAGAGACUCCUUCUUGCCACAACCUUAUACCCCUGUUAGCAGUGAUGAUUCUUUAGAAUCCCACUUCAAAAUCCAAAGCCUACCUCUUACAUCUAACCAACAACAGACCCCAACAGCCAAACAACCAAGACUAAAGAAAAUAUCCUCUACUAGGAGUCUCCUCUCCUUGCACUCUUCAGCAAGCAUGUCUUCUAUAGACUCUUACAUCAGGGUGAAUAAUACCCGUAACCUGAAAGAAUAUGCAGCGGAAUCGUCCCACAAUGAAGUCAACAAAAUGAUCCGUUUGGGAGAAGCUUUGGGUCUUGGUAAUUCAGCUCUCUUGGAACAAUUUUCUGGUCUUAUCAUAAGACAGCUAGAAAAGGAGAAGGAAGAUUGGCAGAAACAACAAUGAAUAGUAAGUUUUCAUCCCCUGCAGAUAGGCCUUUUAAUUCUGUCAUGAAUAUUCUUUCUUGGAAUUCCUGUGGCUUGGGCAUGAUGAGGAAACGAAGAAGAAUCACGAAAUUAAUAGCAGAAUAUAAGAUUGAUAUAUGUUUCAUGCUGGAAACUAAGCUAGCUAAUUGUUCCAUUGGUUUUGUAUCUCGUAUUUGGAAUGAAAAUCAUGUGAGUUGGUUUAGUAAUGAUGCUCAAGGAUCAAAAGGAGGUCUGCUUGCUAUGUGGAAAAACACUAACUUUGAAGUCUCUAAUAUUGAAUAUGGUCAUGGUUGGAUCGGUUUAUAUGGUAAACAUGUUCACAGUGAUUUUCAUUGCUUUGUUAUUGGCAUCUAUGCUCCUUGUAACUAUCAGGACAGACAAAAACUUUGGGAGGAUCUCAUUCUUCUGAAGCAUGCUUUUGAAGUUCCAUGGAUAAUAGCAGGAGAUUUUAAUGAAACGCUCUCUCAGAAAGACAGAAACAGUGGAAUUUGUCAUCCUGCAGGCUCAAAUUCUUUUAGCAGAUUCCUGCAGUCUUGUGAGCUCACUGAAUACCCUUUAGCAGAAGGUUAUUUUACCUGGUUUAGAGGAAGGUCCAAGAGCAAACUAGAUCGAAUGUUCGCAAGCUCAACCUACCAUCUUCACUUCCCCAGUUUAUCUCUUCGACGACUUCCAAGAGAGUUCUCAGAUCAUUGCCCUCUAAUUCUAUGUAGCUUCUUGCAAGACCAUGGAUGGCGUCCUUUUCGUUUCUUGGACUGUUGGACUCAAUACCCAAAUUUCAAGCACAUUAUUGAAAGCUUCUGGAAUGAUGCAUGCUCCCUUCACCCUGGCCGCUUUAAAUUUCUCAAAAAGCUUAAUCAUAUUGCAGUCAAAUUGAGGCAAUGGAAUAAGCUUGUAUUUGGAAAUCAAGAAGCUGGCCUUCAACGAACCCUUUCAGCUAUCAACAUACUAGAGGAAAAAUGUGAAGAAGAAGGUUUAACCGACCAAGAGCAGGAGCAUUUAGACUUUUUGUUGAAAGACCGCUGGGUUCGCAACAAUCACAUUGAAUCUAUUUGGAGGCAGAAAUCAAGACAGAUGUGGUGCAAAUUGGGUGACAGAAAUAACAAGUUUUUUCACAUGAUUGCCAAUUUCAGGAAGGCUAAAUCAUCAAUACUUAAAAUCCACCAUAAUGGCAACACUUUUGACUCUCAGCAGGGAAUUAAGCAGGCUGCUGUGGAUUAUUUCUCUGAGCUGUAUGACUCUCCCUCUGGUAAAAAGCCGCAGUUAAAUCCUUUGGGUUUCAAAUGUCUCUCUAAAGAAUCCUCUGAAUGGUUGGAGCAAGAAAUCACAAUGGAAGAAGUGAAGCGCGGUGUAUGGGGUUGUGAUGGGUCAAAAUGUCCUGGACCAGAUGGUUUCAACUUCAAAUUCUACAGAUUAGCAUGGGAUUUUAUUGCUCAAGACAUUCUCGAUAUAGUCUUAAGCUUCUUCAGAACAGGAAGGCUUCCCAAAGGAAUCAAUACAACCUACGUAACUCUCCUCUCUAAGACAGUCGAACCCAUUGAGUUUAAAGAUUUUCGGCCCAUCAGCAUGAUUCAUGGUAUUUAUAAGAUCAUUGCUAAAAUCCUUGCUUCUAGACUGAAAGUUGUUAUGCAAGAUAUCAUUAGCAUUAACCAAUCAACGUUUAUAGCAGACCGUAACAUUAUAGAUGGCUUUAUGAUUGCAAAUGAGCUGGUGAAUGAUCUAAAAAAGCAAAAAGCGGCAGGUUUGAUUUUCAAGAUUGAUUUUCAUAAAGCUUUCGACUCAGUCUCCUGGGAUUACCUAGAUGAUAUCAUGGGUUAUAUGGGGUUUGGUAGAAAAUGGAGAACCAUGAUUUAUGAAUGUCUUUCUUCAUCAAAACUCUCGGUUUUCAUCAAUGGAUCUCUUUCAAAAGAAUUCUCUGUUCGGCGAGGGCUGCGUCAAGGAGAUCCGAUUUCCCCUUUUCUGUUUGACAUAGCUGCUGAGGGCCUCUCUGUACUCUUUCAAAGGGCAUCUAGUGGGAAUAUUAUCAAAGGGCUGCAAUUUGCAUUAGGAAUUUUUGUCAGCCAUCUUCAAUAUGCAGAUGACACAUUAAUAUUCAUCCCAGCAGAUAUUGAUCAGUUAGUUCAAGUCAAAAGAAUUUUAAGAUGGUUUGCUCUGUCUUCAGGCCUUCAUAUAAACUUCCAUAAAAGAUCCAUUAUUGGUAUCAAUGUCGAUGAUCACUUGUGCUUGCGCUUGGCUACAUCUAUUUUCUGCAGAUCAGACUCCCUCCCAAGCAAAUAUCUUGGCAUGCCAUUAGGAGCCAAUCCAUCUCGUAUCUCCACAUGGAAGCCAGUGAUAGAGAAGUUUCGUAAAAGGCUUCAUAUAUGGAAGGGGAGACUACUAAGCAUGGCUGGUCGUCUAUGUCUCAUUAAAAGUGUCCUUAAUUCCCUGCCUAUAUAUUUUAUGUCUGUAUUCAAGAUGCCAAAAGGGGUAGGCAGGCUUCUUUCAUCCAUCCAAAGACGUUUCUUGUGGUGUGGAUGUACCAAGCAAAGAUCUUUCUGCAAGAUCCAAUGGAGAAUAGUGAUGCGCGAUAAGAAACAAGGAGGCCUCGGUGUAGGCUCCCUUAUAUCAAAAAACAGAGCCCUGCUUCUAAAAUGGAUUUGGAGACUCUCUUCCCCAGGUACAAGCUUAUGGAAAAUGAUUAUCUCUUCAAUGUACAAUCCAUCUUAUGAGAAUGGGAUCCCAAUUUUCUACAACCAACCAUCCAAGAUAUGGAAGGAUAUUAUGUCCAUCGUUCAAACCGACGUUCACCAAGUCUUCACGAAUCAUUGCAAAUUCAUGGUGGGGAAUGGCAAUUUAACAUCCUUUUGGCUAGACAGCUGGAUUGGUGACGACCCUCUCAAAACAGCCUUCCCAAGGCUAUAUCUUUUGUCUUCCUCUAAAACUGCUUUGGUGGCUGACAUGGGUAGAUGGAGCAAUGGAAUCUGGCUCUGGUCCCUACAAUGGCGCAGACCUCUUUUUCAUUUUGAACAAGAACAACUAUCACUUUUAUCAUCCUUGCUGGAAUCCAAGCCAAUGUUCUGCCACAAGAUGGAUAAGAAAAUCUGGACCCUCAACAACGAUGGCCUCUUCAGUGUAAAAUCUUGCUCCAAAAUGAUGGACCAGUUACUCUACGGUGGAGCCAAACCAUUCCAAUCUUCUGUUUGGAUAAAACUAACCCCACCAAAAGUGCAGCUUUUCCUUUGGCUCCUUGUCCAAGACAAAGUAACCACAAGAGAUUUCCUAUUUCAACGCGACUACCUCUCCCUUCAGGAGUCAAGAUGUGCUUUCUGCAAUAAAAGCUUGGAAUCUUCAAGUCACCUCUUCAUUCACUGCCACUUCUCUUGGAAUAUAUGGAUGAAACUGUUUUCUAAUCGGGGCUUUUGCAGUGUUUUUCCAAAAUCUGUUGAUGAUAUGUGCUACCAAUGGUCUUCUAUGGUUAAAGGCAAGCAACAAAAUCUCUCAUGGCAACUUCUUUUCUCAUGCGUUGUUUGGAAUCUUUGGCUUCAUCGAAAUGAUGUUAUUUUUAAUGACGCUGCCCCUAACCAUCAAAUCUGUUUCUCCAUGGUGCGCCAAAGUAUUGCUUUAUGGUUGAGGCUUGACUCCAACUCUUUCGAGCUUAACAUAGAGAAUGUUUAGUCGGGAGGAGUUGGUUUCUUUUGAUUUGUCUGUUCUCCUUUUGUUGUUAUCCCCUGUUUCAUGAAACAGUUUUUGUGCUUCCCUUUCCUCUGCUUGUUCUUCUGAUGUAAGUUAGGCUACUAUCUUUGUAGCUUUUUCCUUUUAAUAAAAUUUCGACUAUUAACAAAAAAAAAAAAAAAAGGUAUCAGUAUGAUUGGAGUUUGGAAAUUGAUGAACAAUGGGGAUUGGAGUUGCUGGUGAUGCAUGAUUUUGAGCUAGAAUUGCCCCUCUCGAUACGAAACCAGGUGCCUGAUAGAUAAAAUUAGGUUUCAAUACGAGUUCGAAAUAUACUGCAAAUGAGGGAAGUAAUGAGGAGCUUACAGGUGAAAACAAGACCCCUCUGAAAAUCUUCCCAUUAACAGUUGCAGUCAUUAGAAGGCCUAAGUCGAAGGCUCCGUCAACUUUACCUCGAACUUCAGCACCAACCUAUGGAGAAAGAGAAGAAAGUGAAAAGCAAGUAUUAGCAGAACAGGAAGGAAGACAGACAAAAAAAUUUGUAAUUGACAAUGUUUUGCAUUGCAUAUAUCAACUUAAUGAUUUACCAGGUUUUGAGUACACCCUGGCUCCAUGGAUCUAUGUUCCACUGCUGGGAAUGGUGUUCCUUGCCUGCCAAACCCUGCAUGAACAUAUUGUUCUACUCUUUUAUUCUCUUGAAACUUGGAGCCUGUGCCGGGUUUUUUGGAUCACAAGUCUAGGUAGUUUCUGAUUACAUGCAACACUAUCAGCCUGGUAAUUUCUUGGAAUUUUGUAUAAUUAAAUAAUCUAAUCUUAAACCACUACUCCAAUUGUUGAUAUAAAAGUUUAAAACCGAUCUAAUUAAAAGAAUUCAAAAUUAAGUGUGAAAAAUAACUAAAAUAAAAAAUUAAUUCAAAUAACAAAAACAAAAUCUUUUGCAUCUGAUUUGAGAAAAUUUAUGUGGUGGAUGACCGAGCCUGUAAAAUUAUAUGAUAAAAUUUAAGUAUAAUUUAAAAAUUAAAUUUAAAAUUAUUUUUAUCAGGUUUUAUGUCUAAUGUGUUGAAUUUGUUUAUGGAUUUCUAUUCAGGCUUAAUCAUAAACGUCUUUGUUUACACGUCAUAAUUAAAGCAUAAAAUGUCGUGUAAGCCGAUGCUUGACUUUUUUAAAAAAUAAUUUAGUUUCGGUUGACUCACAAAAUUGAGACAUCUAGCUAGUCACUCAUGGCUUUAGACGUACCUCUUGUAAAGAUAUCAACGGCUUUACGUCUACCAAGUGUCAGAAGAUUAGAGAUUGAUAUUGUUAGAAUGUUGUUAAUAUUGUUUGUUAGCUAAGAGAGUUUGUUAGUAUUGUUUCAGUGCUAAGAGAAAGAACAGAUACCGUGUAUUACCUUUCUAAUAUAGCCUAUAUAAACUGAGGAUUAGUGAUGUGAAAAUAAUGAAAGAAAAAGUAAUAAUAAAACAGUGCGAGACUUCAUCUUCUGCUUCUCUGUAACAGAAUUAUUCUAUAUUCUUCUUCCUUUCUAUUCUCUGCACUUUCUUCAUUUCUGCUCCUUUUCUGUAUAAAUUCUACCGUCUAUCAUGGUAUCAGAGCAGUAACUGGUCCGAUGGGAUGUCUUCUGAUUGUCAAGAAUUAUACUGGCGAUCGUCUAAAUUUUGGUUUGGCUGCUAAGCAAGCAAAAUCUGAAGGUUAUAAAGUAGAGACUGUAAUUGUUGGAGAUGACUGUGCUUUACCUUCACCUCGAGGCAUAGCUGGACGAAGAGGGUUGACGGGGACUAUUCUUGUUCAUAAGGUUGCUGCAGCUGCAGUUACUGUUGGCCUUUCUCUUGAUGAAGUUGCUGCAGAAGCGAAACGUGCAUCUGAAAUGGUUCUAAUAUCUUGCUAAUCUCUGUUUCUGUAGAGAGAGCAAUACGGUCUCUUAAGAUUCAUACUUCUCAACAAGCUUGCACAAAGAGUCACUAAAUUGCUUUUGGCCACUUGCCAGAGCAAGUACGAUAGUCUUCUCCAUCAAAUCCUGAAGAAGAUCAAUAUAUAACAAAGAGUCGCCGCCAAUGUAUUACCAGCAGCCAUUAAUCUCUGUUUCUGGCAUUAUUAUCUCCUUAUCUACACAAUUCUUUCAUAAUAAUCGAUAUGUCUAUCAUUUGUUUGAUAUAUUGUCAAACUGAAAAAUUCUUCUUCAAAUCUUCAACUUUCUGCAAGAUUCUUCCUUCUCAAUCUUUGAUUCUCUUCUUUUCUAUCUCUUGCACUCUAAAAAUGGCGACUACUUCUCAACUUCAGAUAGUUCAACUCUAAUAAGAGAAUAUACACAUAAACGUUUUCUUCUUCCUCUACACUACAUAAUUUCUCUCUGCUUCUCUUCAUCUCUAUUCUCUGCUUUUCUUCUCUUCAUCUAUAUUGCUUCUAUUCUCUGCUUUUCUAUUGCAGUAUCUCCCUCUAAUUCUAUUCACUUCUUUGUUCAUCUCUGUGACGAUUCUUGCUAGCUUUUCAAAAUAUUUCUUCUAUCUCCAUUGCUUCCAAUCCAGUGUUCCAUUCCAGGAUGAAACAUCUCCAGAUCGAUUAUCACUUUGUUAGGGAACGGGUUAUCAAGGGUGAUUUACUGGUCCAGCAUGUCUUCUCUACUGAUCAGUUUGCUGAUAUCCUCAUCAAAGGUCUUUCCAUUUCUUUGUUUCAGCAUCAUUGUUCCAAUCUCAUGCUUGGCUCCUCCAAGCCUGCGAUUGAGGGGGCAUGUAAAGAUAUCAACGGCUUUACGUCUACCAAGUGUCAGAAGAUUAGAGAUUGAUAUUGUUAGAAUGUUGUUAAUAUUGUUUGUUAGCUAAGAGAGUUUGUUAGUAUUGUUUCAGUGCUAAGAGAAAGAACAGAUACCGUGUAUUACCUUUCUAAUAUAGCCUAUAUAAACUGAGGAUUAGUGAUGUGAAAAUAAUGAAAGAAAAAGUAAUAAUAAAACAGUGCGAGACUUCAUCUUCUGCUUCUCUGUAACAGAAUUAUUCUAUAUUCUUCUUCCUUUCUAUUCUCUGCACUUUCUUCAUUUCUGCUCCUUUUCUGUAUAAAUUCUACCGUCUAUCACCUCUAACUUCGCUUACUAUGCUUAUUAUGCAAAGCAAUUAUUUUCAAGCUUGUGGAACGGGGUGUUCCUCCAUCUUCUUGUUUAACUGCUUUCUUCAUAAACUUGGGAAGUCAUGUGUUAUGAACAAUUGAUUUGAUCUUGUGAAAUAUAUGGCAGAAGAGAUUAGAAAAUGACUUCUAUUAUCAAUAAUUUCUUCUUCCUUGUGAAAUGAUUUCCCGAUACAGCUCUUAAUUUCAACACCUGCUUGCUCUUCUUUUCUUAGUAGACCUGGGAAGCAAAGAUUCCUAAUUAUCCACAUCAUCAAUCGCGAUCCCAUCAAAAAUGAAUUUGGUGGAAGAAAGAAAAACAAAUUGAAAGAAAAAUUAUCAAUUAAGAUUUCAUGUCGUCACAAAAAACAAUUACGAGCUUCAUAAGAUAAUUUUAGCUAGUUUGUCUUAAACUCAUUAGAACAUCCUUUAAUCUUCAACUGCUGUCAUUUGAGAUUUCAUGUUUGUGUUUUCAAUUAAGAUUACACAUCCAUUUGUCAGAAAUACGCACCAAUAUUCCUUAUUACCUAACCUUAAUCCUGUAAUUCUGAUUCUGAACUGCUCUUUACACUCCUUUUCCAUCGAUCAAUACAGAUCAAUCUUUAUUAUUUGCUCCAGGUUGCUGCUGCUGGUUACUCUGUCAUGGAUUAUUAUUUUUCAGUAGUCAGUUAUCCUAGUGCUUGCUUGGACAUGCUCAACAAUGGAGUUUCUCUAAAUGUAAUUCCCACAGUGAAAUCUUCUGUCAAAGUCAUUUCAAGCCGGAAAAGAUCAGGAAAAUGCAGUCUUGAAACAUCAAGCGAAUAGUGCCCAGCAGGAAAAAUUCGUUUCUACUAACAAAUGGAAUGUAAAGUUGAUCCAAGGAUGCUACUAACUUACAAGAAAUUAAAUCAUCAAAGAAAAAAUAUCCACUAGAAGAAGUGUUCUUUCCUUCUAUUUAAAAAGAAUUCGAAAUUUUACUAGACCCUAAUAACAUGAAGUAAAUCUGUUUUUUUUACUCUUGGCUUGUUCUCAAAAAUUUUAUUGAUAUUAAUUAAAUAACAAAGACAAUGAUGUAGCUAGUAUGAACUAUGAAAAUUGAGAACGAGAGGGAUGAUCAGGAAUGGAUUAAGAAAAAUGGGCUUGAAAGAGACCCAACAGGAGAGAAAAAUCUAAAAUAAACUCUUGAUGUCUUUCAUAACUCAAUUUUUGACUCUUUUUAUUUUAUUAUUAUUACUAUUAUUUUAUUUAUUGAAAAAUGAUAAUAAAAAAAAUAAUGAUGAAAAGAAAAUAAAAAAUGAAGAAUAAAUUAAAAUUAGGUUAAGGCAACAUGAUUGGAAGUUUUGGGGAUUAAUUAAAGUUUGGAAUUAAUUCAAUCAAGGGUUUAAUUGGAGAAUUGAUAAGUUUUGAGAUUAAUUGAGUUUGGAAUUAAUUGAAUUAAUGAAAAUCAAGGAUUUAAUUAGAGAAUUGACAAGUUGUUAGACUUAUUUGAACUUGGAAUUAAUUUAUUCAUGGACUUAAUUGAAAAACCAUCAAAGUAUAGGGCUGAUUAUGGUCAAAUUUGCAAGAAAUUAAAACCCAAGGACCAAUGUGUAAAUGGCGCUGAGAUUCAGGGGUUCAAUUACAAUUUACCCAAGGACUGGACUGCAAAAAGUCAACAUGUCUAGGAUGAAAACGCAAAAGGCCAUUAACAUCAGCACUGUUCAUCUUCUUCACCCGAAAACGCAUGCCUUUAUUGCAUUAAAAUCCAUGCAACCGCAUGGCAUUCUCUGGUUAUAAAAACCAGAGAAGGAGAACGAGCACCAGGUUAGAGAGGGGGAGAGGAGAAAAUAAACAGACUUUCAUUCCUCUGUUUCUUCUUAAGGAAACAGAGGAGGUUAAAGAAAAAAGCAACAAACAGGAGGAAAAAAGAGCAAAACCGGGGGGAAAAAGGGAGAGAAGACAGAGAGAGUGAGCGACCGAAAAGGGGAAAACAAAAGGAAAAACUGAGAGACAGGGGAGAAAAGGCAGAACCGAGGGGACUAAAGGGGGGGAAUAAAAGAAGAAAACAGAGGAGACAAAAACCGGGGAGAGGGGGAGACACAGAAUCAGUUUCAACCAUCUCUUCACCAUCUUCAACAACUCUUCAGCCUCCAGGAACCCAGACAGGAGAAGAAACCCCAUCGACUUGCUUUGGGAAGACGCAGAGUUACAGAAUAGAGAGCGGAGAAGCAUACGAAAAAAAGAGGGGGGCAAGCUUCCAUUCAACCGACAGCACCUAGCAUCUUCAUCACCAUCGUUGAUGUCCUGAGCAGAGGAAACACAGAAGGAAGACCAAGGAAAGCAGUAGACAAGAGUCACCACCAGCGUCACCACUGUUUUUGUCGCCUCCAGAAGCAGCAGCUUCAGAUCUCCAUCUUCAGUAGCCACUGCACCAGAAACAGGGCACUCCAGGAGAGAAAUACAGGGAAGAACCGGGGAAGAAAAGGAGAAAGAGAAGGAAGAAGAGAGGAAGAACAAGAGGUGGCAGCGCCGUUCGUCCAGCGCAGUGCGCCAUCGUCUCCGGCUACGCCUUGCUGCACCAGGUAAGUCUUCUCUCGUCUCUCCCCUCCUGCGUUAUAUUUCACUUGCCACUCUAGCAAGUGAAUUAUAAUUAAUUCACUACCCAACCGGGUCACUGGCUUCGGCCAGUGACCAGACCAGGAAUGUUGGGUCUACCUAGCCAUGUAGGCUGGAUCAGACCCAGCCCCACAAAAAAAAUAAAAAAAAUAAAAAAAAAAACAAAAAAAAACUAGAAAGUGUAGAAAUAAAAAUUUUACAUGUCUUAGGAAAAAUGUAUUUUUGUCAAUUUAUUCACUGAUAUUAGGAUCAGAAAUAAAAAAAAAUAUAUACUGAUUUUUUUUUAGCUAUGAAUUUCUACACCAGAGUUGGAAUUAUUCAUGGUGGAAUUUUUACCAACGCUAGAUUUGGAAUUAUUCGUGGUGGAAUUUUUAAACUCUAGAGUUGGAAUUAUUUGGGGUAGAAUUUUUACCAACACCAGAGUUGGAAUUAUUUGAAAUCGAAUAUUCACUGACACUAAAGUCAGGAAUAUUAUAAACAAAUCAUCAUAGCAUAAGCGAAUAAAUGUUUAGUAAUUUAAGACAAAACCAGCAAUGCAGUCUGCCUCAGGCAGAACAUUUAAAGGGUGAUAAUAUCUUCCCUUUUACAUAACCAAUCCCGAACCAUAGAAUCUCUGUUGACUAGUUAGGGUUUCUAGUGGCGACUCCUUAAACAAGAUUUUUUUCCCCUAAAAGAACAAGAUGCCAGAAAUCUAUUUUUUAUUCUUUUUCCAUAAUGAAGAUUAUUUUUAGAGCCGCCGGGUGCGACAAUGUUUAAAAUAGCCUAGAAGUAGGGCUUAGAUAGCUAGGGCUGAGAAAAUUGCCAAAAUAGGUAAAUACUGAUUAUUCAAUAAAUAAAUAAAAUAUUGCCUUGUUUUAAGUUUAGACUUAUGUUCUUUCAGCAAACAAAAUUAUUGUAGAACCACAUUCCACCUUGCUGGUAUGAUCCUGUGGUUCUAUCAAUUAUUUUAUUAAUUGAGAAAAUACUGUAAACUAUUACAAUUGUGAAUAAAUUCCAUAUUAUUAGGGAUAUAGUAAUCACAAGAAGCCAAGAAAUCUAAGAGCAAAACGCAACAUAAUUAAGACAUAACAAACAAAUAUGGAUACAAGCACAAGAACAAACACAAGUCACAUCAAAACAGAAAGGCUAAGCAACAAGAACCGGACACUUCGACAGAACACUUCUCACAGGCAAAUUGCUAAACAUGCAGUGAUCAACCCUUGAUUUGGAAUGCGACUGCAUCCCCAUAGAGGAUCACAACAAAUUCAGAAAGCAGCCCACACGCUGAUAAGACCCAAUCACCUUUUGAAUCUGGACAACUUGCGAAAGUUUAUAGCCAAAAAGCAGUAGCAAGUGUCAAUGCACUCUUCAAUGAAGUAAAACCACCUGCGUCGCCAAUGCGGAUUUAUGCACAGUACUGCUGCAAUUGUCAACACCACAAUUAUGUAAAACACACCAAAGCUGGCAUAGAAACUGUCCAUGUCUAUUAAUCCAUCAUCUCCAUUGGAAUUGUUAGGCACUCUCACUGAUGGUGAUUCUGUUUUGUCGCAACUGUUUUGCAAUGGAGGUCCACAAAGAAGAGGAUUCCCUUUAUAACUGCUCUCAUCAAAGGUAGCAAAUUGAUAUUUCAUCUCCGGUGUUCUUCCUGACAAAUUAUUGUACGACACGUUGAAAACUGCUAGAAAGUUCAGUUCAACGAGUUGUGCAGGAAUUCUCCCAUUCAAGUUGUUGUGAGAAAGAUCCAAGCUCUCUACGUGCUUCAGAUUGGAGAAAGAUGAAGGGAUCAAUCCCGUGAGAUUAUUUUGUGACAGAUUUAGAGCGAAUAUGUCACUUAAGUUUCCCCAUUCUGUCGGGAUUUCUCCAGUGAAUCUAUUACAAGACAGAUCCAUAGCAGACAUGUAACGAAGGAUAUCGCCCUCGUAAGUGUAGAAAUUUUUCUUUGCUGUAAGCUCUACAGCUAUUUUUACAUCAAUCUCUGGCCACAUAGUUUUGCUAUCAAUAUGAAAACCUCUGUUACCCAAUUUUCUCCCCCCUAUGGAUGCCAAUAUUUCUUUCUGGCUUCCAUCAUCUUCUGACACCGUAUCUGUGACGACCAAAGUUUUUUCACCCGAUGCCGUAAAAUUUAAAUUGCUUAAACAUAAGGGUAACGGACCAGAAAAAUUAUUUUCUGAAAGAUCCAAUAUGCUUAAUUUCCUUAACAAGCAUACCUGAACAGGAAGUUCCCCAUUGAAUUGAUUAGAUUUCAGAAGAAGAAUGCUCAAUUUCGAUAGUCUAUCAAUCCAAUUUGGAAUUGGCCCAGUUAAGUUGUUAUUGCCAAGAUCUAAUGUCACCAAAUGAGAGCUAUUAUAAAAAGCAUUUGGCAGUGGACCACUCAAUCGAUUUCUGUAUAGGUGGACAUAGCGUAAAUAUGGUGUUUGGAAGCCCAACGACAAUGACCCAGACAGAUUGUUUUCAGAAAGAUCUAAAAAUUCAAGCAAAUAACAUCUGAAAAGCUCUAUUGGAAUGGUACCUUCAAAAUGAUUUCUGGACAAGUCAAUUCCCUGCAAGAAUAUUGAAGAGUUCCCAAUUCCCUUUGGAAGCGUGCCUGACAAAAGAUUGUUACUGAUAUCAACCAACCAAAGUGAUGAUGCAAGAGAAAAGGUGCCAGAUACUUGUCCAACAAAUUUGUUUCCAUCUAGAAAGAGGUAACGCAGGUGAGUCAUGUUGAAAACAAAAGGCGGUAAUCGCCCUUUGAAAUUGUUAUUGGACAGCUUCAAAAACCACAACGAGGAGCCUCCUGUAGGCAAGUUAUGCUCAAGUAGUUCACAAGUCAUAUGAUUGUUGGAAACAUCCAAGUAUGCGAGAGAGCUCAUAUUCCCAAAAGGAGGAAUGCAACCUGUAAGGUUGUUGUUAGCCAUCAAGAAGUUCUUCAAACGUGGAAAAAUCAAACAUGUGUUUCUUGCAAUUUGACCAUGGAUGUUGUUGUCAGAAAUAUCUACUGUCCGAAGGUUGGGUGUUGGAUGUUGUGGCAACUGCAAAGGACCUGUAAUUGAGGUGUCUCUCAAAUAUAAUCGAUUUAACAUUCUAUUAUUCUCAACCAGCCAUGAUGGGAAAGGUUGUCCAAUGAAUUUGUUGUGGGAUAGAUCAACAAACAUCAAAUCAUAUUGGCUAUGGAGGAAGUUUGGAAAUCCAGCCUUGAGUGGUUUUGAAGUACAGUUUGAAGCACUGAAAAAACGAAGCUGGAACUUGGUAGCUGAAGGCUGAAAACUGGGUGCAGGUAUUAGCUCAUUGUUAUCGCAUGCAAUGAACUUGAGGUUGGAGUGGUUCAUAAAUGAACCAAAAGAUAUUGGAACUUGAAAGUAAUUAUUUGAAACUGAGAGGUAUUCAAGCUGCGUAAGAUGGGAGAGGUGACUAAAGGCAAUAUUUCCCUCCAAUUGAUUGUCAGAUAAAUCCAAGAAUUGUAGAAAUGAUAGAUUUCCAAGACAAGGAGGGAGCAAGCCCGUUAGUUUGUUUCCUGAGAGAAAUAGCUGUUCAAGAUUCGUCAGUUCACACCAGCCUGCACAUUAUAUCCAUAUGUUCAUGUCAAGGGAAUAGGAAUAUAUCAAUUAUGUACUAUUCGUUGAGAGAUCUAUUCGAAUACAAGUUUAUUAGCGAUUUAAUUUACCUUGGUGAGGCAGGGUGCCAUUUAGCAUACAGCUUUCCAGAGACAAAAUUCUGAGAGCAGGAAACGGUCCAAUAUUUAGAAGAAAACUUGCUGUCAUGGGAGAAGCUCGAUCCAGGAAUAGCUCUUCAAGUUUGGUGAAAUUCUGCGGUCCUAAAGGAUUAAGAAAGGUGCGUUCUUAAUAUCAUUUGAGUUGAGAUUGAAGGAAGCGGAAACAUAAAGGGAUUGGGUUAUUAAAAAAAAAUUAUUAUGGGAAAUUAAAAUCAUUUCCGACAUAAAUUUCUAUUUUAUUGAUCCAUAUGUAUAACCAGCUUAUAAAAGGAAAAACGGAGAAAUUUUUGUUGAUAAAAUUACUAAAUAUCGUCAUAAACGUAAUGGUUUAAUAACAUGAAAAUUCUUUUAUUCUUUCAUGGGAAAUUUUUAGAUUCAUCAUUUGACACAUAUUUUUGCUAUCCGAAGAAAGGAGCUUGAGAUUUGAGUGGUUCAUAAAUGAUUCAACUACUUAACAAAACUGGGACUUGAUUGUAAGACACAUCCACCAGUUGUAAUAGAUGACAAGUUUCUCAAACAAGUUGUGAUGAGGGACACGUAUCUACAAGUUUAAACUCAGAAAGAAGUCUGAAUGUGUCAAAUAAUCUUUUAAUUACCUUGAGCAGGUCCGGUGCCAUGGAAGUCAGCUCUGGUCAAGGAUAAAACUUUAAGAGUAGACAAGGGUCCAAUGUUCCGAAGAAAGCUUGUUGGGAGAGAAGAAUAAUCGAGGAACAUUUCUUCAAGGCUAGUCGAAUUACACAAUCCUGUGGAACAGAUAAGAUAAAUCCAUUAAUGAAAGUGAUAUAUAAAUAUCAUGUUUUAGGCUCCAAACUGUAACUGACCUUUACCAGAGUGUAUUCCUUUAAAUUUGCUCCCAGUAGCAUAUAAGCUCUUGAGGGAUGGCAACGCUCCCAAUGACUCUAUCAAAAUGCUUUCCUUGAAGUCAAUUAUUUCCAGAUACAAGAUUUCUAAAUUCCUCAAACCUGUGAUGGAGAGCACAAUUAAUAAUAAUGGCUUUUUUAUUUUUUAUUUUUUAUUUUUUCCUGAUUCCAAGUGGUACAGAUAUGUGUGUUCUACAAUUUGUUUUAUUUAUGUGUUGUCAUCUGGAAUAAUUUGGAGCACUAUCGUAGAAUGAGCAGGGGUGCAUGCAGAGUAAUUGAUCUAGCAGUUUCCGGCUGCUGUGUUCUACAAAUUUUUGUUCUUGACUUUUUGUUUGCUCUAUCUAGUUGGAAGUUUUAGCUCAAAAUUGUUGAUAUAAAUAAUUUCUAAUGUUAAAGAUUAAUAUAUAAUUAUUAUUAGAAACUUACCCAACAAUUUAAGUCUUUGAAUUAAAUUAAUUUUAAUAUGAUAUUAGAAUUUUAAUAACCAAAUGUUUAUGAAUUUAAAUCAUCUCACCUCCAUUCCUUUAAUAUUUUUUAAAAAAUAAUCAGCACUAGCGAAAGGUAUACCAUGUAAGAAUCCAUAACUAUUUCACUUGAAAAAAUAUGUUAAAGGAAUUAAUUAUAUAAAAGCAUUUAUAGGGCUUCAUUCAUCUGCUUGAUGAUUAAUGCACAGCUAAUUAUUAAAAAAGUUAACAAAAUAAUAAAUUAAGCCUCUCUAAGGAAUGUCAUCGAGGUAGGAAUGAUUUACCAUUGAGACCAAUUGAUCCUGUAAACUUAUUUUUUGAUAGAUGUAGAGAUUUGAGAGUUGAAAAACCACCGAGAGAUGAUAAAAUACUAUCGUUAAAUUUAUUGUCACUCAGUUCAAGUUCCUGCAAUUCCCUCAACCCUGAUGCUAGCUCGUGAAAACCUAUAAGAAAAUUGUCAAAAGCAAAAAAAUUAACAAAUAUAUAUAUUUCAACCAUCCAUUAUCCAUAAAAGUUCAAUGAAAUAUAAAUUUAUGUAUUAAUUUUUUAUAUACCAAUUGUUCCUGUGAACCUAUUGUUUGAUAGAUGUAGAGAUUUGAGAGUUGAAAAACCACCGAGAGAUGAUAAAAUGUUGUCGUUAAAUUUAUUGUCACUCAGAUCAAGUUCUUCCAACUUUCUCAACCCUGAAGCUAGUACUUGAAAACCUGAAAGAAAAUUGUCAGAAUAAAAAAGAUUACACCUGAAAUUUAUUUUUCAUUGAACUUUUUUGGAUAUUGGGAUAUUGUAUGAUAUAUAUACCCCAAUAUCCAUAAAAGUUAAAUGUAAAGUUACUUGAAAUAUAACUUGAAGUGUUAACUAAAAACAAUUGAACCUUGAUUCUCUAAGACACCAUCUAAUCGGUUGUCGCUUAAGUGGAGAAUCUCCAAUUCUUUGAAAGGCAGAAACAAAGAUGCAUUGAGAUCCAAGUCUUCGAAUGGAAAAGAACUUACACCUGAAAGAUGAAGUUCGAUCACUCGGUUUGUGGUGCUGUCGCACACAACCCUACCCCAGUUACAGCAAUUAAAAUGCUCUUUAUCCCAACCUUUUGAUAGAGGUAGUAUAGAUAACCCAGCAGUUGCAUGACUGAACCAAGCUUUUAUCUCUAAGAGACUAAUUCUCUCUUCCUCUAAACAACAAUGGCACCGCUCGUUGACGAAGGCCAGUGCCAUGAGCAGCAUCCACACCCACAUUUGCCUCAUCUUCAUAUUGACUCUCCUACUUGACAAAAUACAAUAGCAAUCAAGUUGUCUCUUAUAUACAAUUUUGUCCUCUUCAUGCAUUUGAUCGGACAGUGACAGUUAUCUGUAUCAUUGAAUUAAUUAUCCAAGGUAGACUUGGGCUUAAUUGAAUGGGAGAGUCUUCACGGACAGUGCUAGCCGUGGGCCCGCACCACGGCACAGAUCAACGUGGUUGUUGAUAUAUAUUUUUUUGUUAUACUAUCUUAUUAUUUAAUUCUUUUUUGUUUUUAUGUUUUAUGUUUCCCUGAUCUACUAUUGCAUUUAGUACCUUAACAAUAUGCAUUCAUUGCCAUCUAGAAUUUCAUUCAAUAGAGCGAUUAAUCAAGAAACUUAUUAUUGACUUUCAUUUAAAUUAGAAUACAUGAAUAAUUUAUGAGUUUGAAAAAUGUUAUCCAUCCAUAUUAAUUACACAAAUUUUAAAAUAAAUUGCAAUUAAGUUUUUCCAAACAAAUAUCAUUACAUAAGGAAUACGUACGUACUCAAGACAUAGGAAGCCAAGUUUCCAAGAUAAUCCAUUAUUCAAUUUUGUGAAUGAUGAAACUUUUCAAGAUAAUCCUUAUAUAAUAAGGUUUGAUCAAUUUUUUCGAGAUUGUGUUAUCAUAAAUCACAUAUCGUUUAAGUUUCCAGCUUAUAAUAAUAAUUUACACGAAUUAUUGGUGAGAAAUCUCCAAAAUCAUUUUAAAAAAGACAAAUCUAUAUGUCUUAUAGUGCUAUCUCUUUUUUUGUGUUUUCAAAUGUUUUUGUAUUAUGUGUACAUUAUAUCAUCUCUCAUACACAAAAUAUGAGACAUAAUAUUUUAUUUUUAGGAAAAAUCUAAUAAUCCCAUAAAUGAUCAAAUAUCAAUUUGCUUUCCCUAAAUAAUAUCACAUAUAUUAUUUCAAAAUAGUUUUAGAAAUUUGUUCAAUCAAGUCUGUACUUAAUUUUUCUAGGUUUAUAAUUGUAAUCACGUGUAUCAACUUCACUUUAGUUCUUAAUUUCUAAAACUUAAUUACAAUCAAGUCACAUUUAAUUAAUCAUCUCAUUUUAAUUUUUGAUCAAUGAUUUUUAAUGUGUGUGGCCAAUUGAGUUCUUAACAAGUUGGCUCAAAUAUAAAUAACAAUCAUAAAUAAAAUACAAUUAAACAAUUUAACAAUUUAACUUAUCAUUAAUUUAACAAAUUAAUUAAUUAAUAUUUGAAAAUCAAGUGCAAUAUUUAAUAACAUGUCAUAACCCUCUAAAUAUUAAAAAGGUCAUACAUGUUUUGACUUAACUUUUUAUUGACUAGUUUCUCAAAGUAAUUAUUAUCCCUUUAUUAAGAAUAUUUUAAUUUAGAUAUUAGAGCACAAAGUAUAUAUGUUCUAUCAAAUCAAAUUUAUUAUCAACAUCAUAGUCAUAGAUUAUUUGAAUAAGAUUUGAAACUCUUUACAAAUCUUAUUACACCUUGCACAAUGAUUUCAUAGUCAAUACUAUUUGUCGCACGUGUAUGGCAUCGCGGCGAUCGUCCACCCUCAAGGAAAAAUGUAAUGGACUAUCUGGUAAAUGUGGAGAGACAAGGAAUUCUUGUCACUUAUCAAUGGAAAAUUUAAAUAGGAGUCGCCACCUAGUAUUCUAGUCACUAGGAACCCUAACUGGUCUUAGAGAUCGGAUACGGAGACUGGUUGCGUAAAGGGAAUGUAUUAGCACCCCAAAUACUCCCUACCUAAGGUAAGCUGCAUUGUUUUGUCUAAUAAAAUCUAAAGUCUUGUUGUGGUUUCUAAUUGUCGGUCCGUUUACAGUUUAAGAAAAGUCCUCUGUAAGGAGAUCCUUAUCUUAUCAGGUAAAACCUAAUUAUUUUAAGUUGUCAAAAGAAAAUACCUUUUUAAUAUCGGGAAUACAUUUUACGUAUAAAUUCAUAAUCUUUGAUACUAAAAUCAAACAAAAUAAAAAUUUUUUUUGUUUUUGAAAUUUUGGUCAAUGUUCUCUUCACUUUAAUAAACUGGUUAUUAAAGCCACAAUGCAUGCUAAAUUUUUUUUUUUUCUGGUGUAUGAAAAACACAAUAUGAUUUUUUUAGCUUUUGAGACACUUGUCCAUAUACACAAAAAGAUUUUUUCUUUUUCUCAAUUUUUUUUGUAUUUUGGAAGUUUUAACAAAAAUCGGGUAUUUUAAUAUCGAAUUUGUAUGUUUACGACGCAAAAUACUGACCGAUAUUAAGCAAAACAAAAGACAUAAAUCAAAAGGAGGAAAUCAGAAAAUAUUAAAAAUAUUUUUUUAAAAUGGGCCGGACCCAGCCCAGAUCAAUGGGCUGGGCCGGACCCAGCCCAGAUCAAUGGGCUGGGCCAGACCCGACCCAAAAAACUAAUGGGCUGGUUACUGUGUAUAAGCACAGUAACCAGCCCUUCACUCUUUCCUGCAGAACGUGAAUUAUUCAUGUUUUGCAUGCAAAUACAGGCAGGGACAAGAAGAGGAAAAUGAAUGAGGCAGCAGGAGGUUACCUAGGGUGGCGUCGAGGCGGUGUUGCUGGCAGCGGCAGUGCUACUAUCGUAGUGGUAGUGUUGGUGGCCGGCGGUGCUUCUCCUUUUUCUUCCUCUCCCUCCUUUGUUUUUUUUUUAUUAUUAUUUCUUUUUCUUUCCUUUUCUCCUCCUCUUUUCUGCUAUGUCUUGUCUCAUCUCUUCUCUUCUCUCUUAUGUUCCUCUAUUUUAUUUUUUUCUUCCCUCCCCUCUGUUUUUUGUUCUUUUUUCGGGUCUGUUUUUCUUCUUCUCUUUCUCUCUUCUUCCUUCUUUUUCUCUGCUCUUUUCAGUCCUCUUGCCUAUCUGCUCUCUUGUCUCUCUUUCUCUCUCUCAGUUUCCCCACCUUUCAUCAUGCUCUCCCCCUCUGUAUUUAUAGGUGAAAACAAAGGGGGGGGGGAGAGGUCGAGGUGGCCACUGUGUUGCCACCCCAAACCGCCCAAGGGGUACGUCCCCUCCAUUCUUCCACCACGUGGCAAGCAAAUGGGUUGUAUCGGCAUCUUUUUUAGCUUUAAGAGAGAGAGGGAGCUAGUGAAAACAGGGGAAUAAAACCUUCUUCUUCCCCUAAUUUCUACACAUCGAAGGGAAGAAAGGUUGUAUCGUUCAAAAAGGCACCAUUUUGGGCUUUCUCUCUUUCUUUGUUUUUAUGAACAGUAUAUGAAACGACGCUGUUUUGGUCAAAAUGCGUCAUUUUAUUUAAAUGGAUUUUGGUGCCAAAACGUGUCAAAUUCAAAAUCAGGCCUUCAAUUUGCAUGUGUUUUACAAUUUAGUCCUUGGUCUCGGAUUUCUUCAAUUAAGUCCCUAAUUGGCCAUCAAACUUCAAUAUUUAUGCAAUUAAGCCCCUAAUUUGACCAAAUUAAAUCUUAAAAAUUAUAUUUUGACCCCAAAACUUUAAUUUAUUUCAAUCAAGCCAAAUUAACUCCAAAAUUAAUUUUUCUUGCAAUCAAAACCUCCAUAAAUUCAAUUAAACCUUUAAGAAAAUUUAAUUGAGUCCAUAAACCUCUGAUUUUGGUCUUUUCUUUCUCAAAUUAAAUUUUCUUUGUCAACAGGGCUAUCAUCAGUCAACAAAAUAUUGUCAAAUUUUAAUUUUUGUAUUUUUAAACCUUCUCAACCAAUUUUUAACCCUUUUUUAGUGUUGCUGAAGACUGUGAAGAUGAUGGUCAACGCCGGUUCUCGUCUCUACGCUUUCAUCCGAUGGGCUGAGUUUGCGUCUCCUUUGCUCCUGGUUUGAGAUUCUGUCAACUUCAGUUCUGAGAUGAAGGGACAAAGAAGAUGGUGGGGCUGCUCCUUGUCUUUGCGUCGUUUCUCUGCUUUUAUUUUUCUCAGUUUUUUCGUUCCUCGGUUCUGCUUCCCCCCUCCUCUUCUUUCAUUCCCUGGCUUCUUAUAGAGCCAGAGAACGUGGUAAUCAGGGUGAGCCACGUUCCCACGAUAUGCAGUUACAGAUGUCCUGCUGAAACGGUCUUGAGCGACGAAGAAGGUGGAGCGUUUGAACUGGAAAUGGCAACUUUCGUUUUGGACCUUGAAUUUUAGAAAGUUUUGUAAUUAAGUCCCUAGUUAAAUUGUAAUUGGACCCCUGCAGUUUGGCAUCUUUUACAAGUUAGUCCUUGGAUUUUAAUCUGUUUGCAAUUGUGCCCCCAAUUAACCCCAAACUUUGCUAUUUUUCCAAUUAAGUCCUUGAUUUCAUUAAUUAAAUUAAAUCCAAGUCCAAUUAAGUCUUAAACUUAUCAACUCUCCAAUUAAACCCUUUGAUUUGAUAAAGUAAAUUAAUUCCAAACUCAAUUAAGUCUCAAAACUUAUUAAUUCUCCAAUUAAACCCUUGAUUUAAAUAAUUAAACUAGUCAAGAAUUUAAUUAAAUCUUUAAACUUCCAAUCAUGUUGCUCCUAACCCAAAUUUUAAUUCAUUCUUUAUUUAUUAAAAUUUUUACUUGUUUUUCAUUUUAGUAAAUAAAAUAAUUAAAAUAAAAGGUAAAAAAUUGGGUUAUGAUAAUUAUUUUUAUCAGAUUUUAUAUAUGAUGCAUCAAGUUUUUUAAUGUUAAUUGAAAAAAAAAUUAGGAUUACAUCCUAGUCGUAGAUAUGAUUAUUAUUCAUUUAAUGUUAAUAGAAACAUAUAUAUAUAUAUAUAUAUAUAUAUAUAGCAAAAGCAAAAGGUUUGAAUUGGUGGUUAAAAACAAAUAUUUUUUUAUUUUGCGGUUCCACCAGAUGCACCAAGUAAAUUAUUGUGAGGGUGCUCCCCUUCAGUAAAACUUUUUUUAAAAAUAAUUUAGUUUCGGUUGACUCACAAAAUUGAGACAUCUAGCUCAUGACUCAUGGCUUUGGCUUUAGACGUAGCUGUAACUUCGCUUACUAUGCUUAUUAUGCAAAGCAAUUAUUUUCAAGCUUCUGGAACGGGGCGUUCCUGCAUCUUCUUUUAUGGCAGAAGAGAUUAGAAAAUGACUUCUAUUGUCAAUAAUUUCUUCUUCCUUGUGAAAUGAUUUCCCGAUACAGCUCUUAAUUUCAACACCUGCUUGCUCUUCUUCUUUUCUUAGUAGACCUGGGAAGUCAAGUUUCCUAAUUAUCCACAUCAUCAAUCUCGAUCCCAUCAAAAAUGAAUUUGGUGGAAGAAAGAAAAAAAAUAAAAAAAUAUCAAUUAUUUUCAAGCUUGUGGAACGGGGUGUUCUUCCAUUUUCUUGUUUUAACUGUUUUCUUCGUAGACUUGGGAAGUCAUGUGUUAUGAACAAUUGAUUUGAUCUUGAAAAUGACUUCUUUCAAUAAUUUCUUCUUCCUUGUGAAAUAAUUUCCCGAUACAGCUCUUAAUUUCAACACCUGCUUGCUCUUCUUUUCUUAGGAGACCUGGGAAGUCAAGAUUCCAAAAUAUCCACAUCAUCAAUCUCGACCCCAUCAACAAUAGUGCCCAGCAGGAAAAAUUAGUUUCUGACGGUGAGAUGAUGCCAAAAUUGUAGUCAAAGAGACUUGGAACUCCCUGAUGAUGGUCUCUAGCUCUGGAGGUUUAUUCUGCCAAAAUUGCAUGGGCCGUUUUACAGCCUUCGUAAUGGGCUUGGCUACUUUGGGUAAUUAAAAAAACCCAAAUCGAUAAUGUUUUUUUUUUUUUCCUUUGGUAUCCGUUUAAUCAAUCUUCUGGUUUGAUCCUUGAUAGUGCUGUGUUUUGAUGCUUGUCGAUUAGCCACAAUAAUGUUAAAUUUACAAGGACAGAUCCAAGAAAAGCAAUGCAGGCCUGUAUUGGUCUCUGGGAGUCCCCUGAUAAAGGCUGCAAUCAUUGCUUGAACCCUUGUAAAGGGGCCUUUACACAUGAGGUCCACUGAAGAAGUACAACACCGUUUUUUUAUUUAAUUCUUAUGGUUUAAAUCUACUAAUAACUUAGUCAUUUUGCAUGCUAUUUUUCCACUUGUUUUGUAAAAUAGAGAAAAGAACAAAGUAAAUCUUUUUUUUUAGUUUAUGGCAUGUUCUCAAAAGUUUUAUUGAUAUUAAUUAAAUAAAAAAGACAUUGAUAUAGCUGAAAAUUGAGAACGAGAGGGAUGAUCAGGAAUGGAUUAAGCAAAAUGGGCUUGAAAAAGACCCAACAGCAGAGAAAAAUCUGAAAUAAACUCUUGAUGUUCAAAAUAGCCCACAAGCAAGGAAAAUUACCAAAAUAGGUAAAUACUGAUUAUUCAAUAAAUAAAGAAACUUCCUAGAAUAAGUGUGACAUCCUUUAAUGUUUUUACCUUUUAGAACAGUUUAUCCAGGUCGAUUCCACUUUGCUUCAACCGACCACAAUGAUCCCAUAUCCAUCUAUACAAAAAUCAAUUAAGCGGUCCAUUGACACAUUAACUUCUCUGGCUCCAUUCCGUCCUGGAUUAGCAAUCUUUCAACAUUGAGUGUUCUUCUUCUAAAAGCUACCUGAUCUUGUCAACCUAUGACAGAUCUAAAGACUUGAGAGCGGAAAGCCCAUUAAAACAUGAUAAAAUGCUUUUAUCAUUAUUAAAUCGGUUCCCACUUAGGUCAAGUACCUCCAGUUUUGAUGGUAGGACUUCGAAGCCUGGAAGAGAAACAUCAAAGCAAGAUAAUUGACAUUAAACACCGACCUUGAUUCUCAAAAUAAUAUAAAUUUAUUCUAUGAUUAUAAGAACAGAAAGAUUGAACCGACCAUGAUUCUCAAAGCAACCAACUAAUCCAUUACCGAUCAAAUCAAGACUUUGCAAUUCGUUAAAAGGCAGAAACAAAGAUGCGUUGAGAACCCAAUCCCCCAAACUCUCAUCCCUUGCACCAAUAAGAGAGAGUCGGAUCACUCGCCUUUGAGUGUUAUCACACUUGAUCCCAUACCACUCACAACAAUUACUACUGUACUCCGCCCAAUCUCUCAUGUAAAUGCUGUUUGGAUUGAUCAAAGGUUUGAUCUCCAUGAGACCAAUUCUCUCUUCCUCCAAACACCCAUAAGAACGACCACACCAUUUCGCCAUCCAAAGUCAAUAAUGUGACCAAAAUCCAAACCCACAAUAUCUUUUUCACCACCAUCUUAUAUUGUUCUAUAAACCACUACGUAGAAUUUUGUUGUUUGUUAUGUGAGUUUGGGCAACCCACAUUUGGUCCCAUUUAAAACACACUUUGGCCAUUUCCAUGAUUUUAUCUGCGUAUCCUGUGCAGGUUCCAUGAUUUUAUCGGGGAGUCAAUUUAAGUUAUUUUCCUGCCACUUUCUCAGCAGUUAUUCUCGUAGAGUCCUAUUUUGUGUUAAACGUUGGGUGCGUAUAAAGUAGUCAAAAGUAGGAUAUCCCGCUUUCUCCAUUGCUGUUCUGCAACAAUAUUUUGGUAGCCUUAUAGCACUCACUACUGGAGAAAUUGAGCUAAAGCAUAAAAUGUCAUGUACGCGGAUGCUUGACUUGCGGUGUGCCAUCUUGACUCUUAAACACCACCGAGCAGUAAUUUCAUGGUGAUUUCCUUAUUAAUACUGGUGGUCUUCCAGAAUCUUUAUCCAAACAACCCUUGCUAGACCGGGAUCGGGGUUGAUCAGGGAUAAGACUCGUGUCAUGACUUUUGAUGAGAUCACUAGGGCUCUGUUUGUUUGCAGGAAAGUGAAUUCCUUUUGGAAAGUGAAUUCCGGGGAAAGUGAAUUCCUGGAAAGUGAAUUCCGGGAAAGUAUUUUCCGAUGUUUGGUAGUGUUAUGGAAAAUGAACUGGAAAACACUUUCCAGUGUUUGGUUGUAUUAUGGAAAAUGAACUGGAAAAUAAUUUAUUAAUGAAUUAAUUUUUUUUUUAAAUUUAUCUAAUAUAUAUAUAAAAUAUCUAAUAUAAAAUAUUUAAUCACUUACAAUAAAAAAAAAUGAAAUCUAAAAUGUAUAAUGAUGAAUUUUUUUUAUUAUAUUCUAUAUUCAUACAUAGCUUAUUUUAUAAAAUAUAACUAUAUAUAUCAUAUCAUAUUAUAGAGAAAUAAGCUUGUGAAAUGUUUUUUACUAUUCCAUGAAACUAUUUAUAAUUCCAUUACGUACGAAAUAUAUCUGACAAAAAUUAUAGUUUUAAUAAUAUUUUUAGCAUGUAACAAAAUUGGAUAAAAUAUUAAGGUUUAAAAUUUACUCUAAACUAUUUUUUUUUAAUGUUAAAAAAAAUAGCACACUUAAAAAAAAAAAAAAAAGAAUCCUACAGGCAAGUGAACAGUGCAAGAGAACUGCACUGUUCACUAUUUUUCCAGUAAACAGUGUACGCAAUACACUGUUCAUGUUAAUUGCACUAUUCAUUGAACAGUGCAAUUAACAUGAACAGUUAAGAAAAAAUGGCUGCUUUUCACCGCUGGCCACUGUCGGAAAGUGUUUUCCUUUCUUUAACAAAAGAAAACACUUUCCUUUGGCAACACUGAUUUAUUUUCCAUUGACUGAAUUCAUUUUCCAUUGACUUUUUUUCUUGUUGUUGCCAAACACUGGAAAAGCAGGAAAGUGAAUUCCAGGAAUUCACUUUCCUGCAAUCAAACACGGCCUAGAUUAACUUUCAUUUUUUGCUAAUUUGGUUGAAGAAAGAAAUAUUUAGCCUGAUUUACUUCCAUAUUCAUUUUCUUUUUAAUACAUACAUGCUUGUAACAAGACAGGAUAAAAGCCAUGUAAACAAGGUAAUUAAAAAAUGUCUUCCGGCAAGUUUGUUUGUUUUUCCCCUUUAUUAUGAUAUAUAUACACGAAAGAAGAAAAUGCAUUGAUUAAAAUGCAUAGACCACCGUGUGGGCCAAUAAAAUGAAAACAAAAGACAAUAUCAAUGGUUUGCAAAAAAAGAAAAAAGAAAGUUUUCUGUUAAAUUUAUCUUUAUGUUAAUUACUUGAUUAACUAAACUUAAUCAUGUAAUAUUGAAUUAUUUGAUGAAAAACUUAUUUAAAACAGUAUUAAUUGACAUAUUUUAAAGUAAAAUAAAAAACAAACCCCGCUUACUUGCUUAUUUUUAAUGUGAAAAAUUAUUUUUUAACAUAAAUUCUUUAACAUAUUAACAUAAAAAAGUUCAAUAUAAUUAAAAUAAAUUGUGAUUAACAUGCUUUCUGAACCAAGCUUUUAUAUCUAAGAGACUAAUUCUCUCUUCCUCCAAACCACAAUGGCAAAUUGUGCCAUGAGCAGCCCUUUUGUCUUCUGGGCUGGAACAUCAGCCCAGCCCACGCGGAUGGGCUGAGUCCAGCCUUGUAGCUGGACCAAUACAGGCCCAGCCCACAUGAUUGGGUCGGGUCUGGCCCAGUUCAAUUUAAUGUUGGAACAUCAGCCCAGCCCAUGUGGGUGGGCUGAGUCCAGCCUUGUAGCUGGGUUAAUACAGGCCCAGCCCCCACAAUCAGCCCAGUUCAUUUCUUUUUUAAAAAAAAAAAAAAAAUUAUUUUCAAAGAAAUUGCAAUUUCCCCGUGUAUUUAUUUUACGUCAUUUUGAUUAAUAUUGGUCUGUAUUUUUAUAUCAUAAAGAUAUAAAUUCGGUAUUAAAAUAACCGGUUUUCAAAAAAAAAUAUUUUUGUUUUCAUACAUACGGCCUAGUUUCUCAAGGCUAAAAAUAAAUAAAAUCAUAUUGUAUCUUCAUACAACAAAGAAAACUUCAAUAUAUAUAUAUAUAUAUAUAUAUAUAUAUAUAUAUAUAUAUAUAUAUAUGUGAACAUGUGUUUUGGCUUUAAUAACCAGUUUAUUAAAGUUACGAGAACUCGGCCAAUAUUUCAAAAAAAUCAAAAAAUAUAUUUUGUUUUGUUUUAUUGUCUGGGAUUAUGAAUUUAUAUAUAAAACGUAUUCCUAAUAUUAAAAUGGUAGUUCUUUUAUAGACAUUAGAACAGUUAUGUUUUACCCCCAUAAGAUAAAAACCUCUUUACUGAGAAUGACUUUUCUUGAACCAUAGACGGACCAACAUGAUAAGACCUUAUAUUUUUUAUCAGACAGUGAAACAAUGCAACUUACCUCAGAUAGAGCGUAUUUGGGGUGUUAAUACCUUCUCUUUACGCAACCAGUCUCCGUAUCCAAUCUUUGAGACCAGUUAGGGUUUCUAGUGACUAGAAUACUAGGUGGCGACUCUCCUUCUAUUUUUUCACUGCUAAGACACAAAAAAUUCCUUGUCUCCCCAUUUUUGCUGGAAUAGAUACAAUUGCACCUAAUGAGGAGAAGUGGUGGGCGAUCAUCGCGACGCCGUACACAUGCAACACAUGUAAAACGGUUUCUAUAUAUAUAAAAGGAAGAAAGAAGAAAAUGCAUUAAAUAAAACAUGGAUAUCUUUGAAUGAAGAAAUUUAGGACACCGCUGACGUAUAUAGACAAAGUAUGCCAAGAACGAGGGGGGGCAAAAACAUUAUCAAUGGCUUGAAAGAACAAGACAAAAUAAAAUCAUUAGUUUUGAGCUUCAGAAGACAAUUUUAGCCAUUUAAUUUUGUCUUCAACUCGUUACAAAAAGCCUUGUCAUUUGAGAUUUCAUGCUUGUAAUGUUUCUGUUUUCAAUUAGUAUUACGCUUCCAUCUGUCAGAAUACUGUUGAACUUGACAAGAACUUUGAGCAAAUUCCAAUUUGAUUUUUGUAGCGAAUUAUAUCACUUAAUUGUUUGCUUAGGCUUAUUUUUAAUGUUCAAUGAAGUUUCACCAAUCAGUCAUCAAAUUCUGUAAAUGUUGCAGAUGAUUGCUAGGAAUAAAUCACAGUCAUUAAAUUUCUUCAUUUUGGUCCUUAAAUUUGUUUGCUAUGCUGUAGUUCUUUAUUUUUCGUGGAUAAAUUAUUUGGUACAGAGUUCUAAUUAAUAGCCAAAAAAGAAAAUAGCUCUGAAGAUAUCAGAACAACUGAAAAGAGAAGCAAAUAAUUGAUAAGGUGGGAGAAAAGAAUAGCAAAAUGCAUAGGCAAAUUUCUACAGUAUCAACUGACAAUGUGGAAGAAGAGAAUAUCAACCUGAUAGAUCAUAUAUGCGAGGCUUAUGUGGUUUACGAACACCUGAUUUGCAGAAGCUGGGGAUAAUGUUGAAACUCAAAUACACUCCUAUACAAUGAAAGGUUUUCUUGAAAACUAUCAUAAUUAAAGCAUAAAUUCAAUGAAAACUAAAUUUGCUGGAGGGGUUUCACAGAUUUUGACCAGAUUGAAUUUCACGAGGCGUCUAGCGUGAAUGAAUUAGGGUUUUCUUCUAGCCUUGAAAUUAUAGAGGAAUAGAGAAAAACAAAAACUCAUAUUUUUCUGAAAAGUCUAUAAUUCAAUAAUCUAAUCUUAAAACAAUACUUCAAUUGUUGAAAUAAAAGUUUUAAACCGAUCUAAUUAAAAGAAUUUAAGAUUAAGUGUGAAAAAUAUAAAAAAUACAAAAUUAUUUAGGAAAAUAAUUAAAAUAGCAAAAAUAGAAUCUUUUGACCUAACUUUGAAAAGAUCCUGUGGUGAUGGAGUCUAUAAAAUUAUCUAAUAAAAUUUAAGUAUAAUAUAAUAAUUAAAAUUAUAAUUAUAAUUAAAGCAUAAAAUGUCGUGUACGCCGAUGCUUGACUUGCGGUUUUCCAUUUUGAUUUUUAAAUACCAGAAAACGGUAAUUUCCUUAUAGAAACUGGUGGUCUCCUCGCGACCUUUUUUCUCAAAUAACUGUUGUUAGAGCAUGAUUGAAGUUAGGAUUUAACCCGUGUCAGAAACUUAAUGACUCUCCUCACUAACAGUAAUUUAUUAAAUAUUUUUAAUAUACUUAGUUCAUGUGAGGUUGUGUUUUCAAAAUCUUCCGAGAAAAAAGGACUAAAUGAUGACACACACGACAUUAAUGCAAAAAUAAAAGAUAGCACUACUGGCCAAAUUAAAUUUCACGAGAUGUAUAAAUUCAAACUAGGAUUUUCCAGCCUUUAAUACUCUAUGGAGAAAAAAACUCUAAUAUUUUUAUAAAAAGCUUAUAAUUUAAUAAUCCAAUCUUAAAACAAUAUUUCAAUUGUUGAUAUAAAAAAUUAAAACUGAUCUAAGAAAACUAAGUGGAAAAAAUAAUAAAAUAUAUUAUUUUCAGAAUAUAUUAACAAUUUAUUUCUUGAACAUGAAUACCAAGAAUAGACAGAGAGACACAGAGGAAUCAUUCACAUUUGCACUUGAAAGAAGCCAACUGUAUGCAAAGAGGGCCAAGAAGAACAAAUGAAUUAGUUUGCUGAAACAGACAAUACAAACAAAAGGAGAAGAAUGAGAAAUCAGAUGGGCAGUGUGAUGGUAUUUUCAGAACUAUGGUUGUGCCUUUUGGAAGAGAAUGUGCUUCUUCUCUGACCAUUGUGUACAAUUAUGGUCGUUGUUUCAUCAAAAUCAGAGGGCUGAUUCUGCCUUCUCCUUUACAGCUUCCAAAAGAAAAGGUGAGAAUGGGCUAUUCUUGCUUUUGAUAUUUGAAAUCAUAACAUGCUCCACUGAUUGACUUUUGGUGUAACAUUUUGAUCCUUAAACUUCACUUGGCCGUAAUUUCCUGAUGAUUUCUUUAUGGGAAACAGGUUGUCUUCUCGCAAUCCUUUUCCAAACAACCCCUGUUAGAGCAUCAUUAAAGUUUUGAUUUGUACCAUCAUCAAAAAAUGACUGUCAUCAUCAUCACAACGUACUUCCAUUUCAAUUAAUUCUUUAUAUUAUAACGCAGCAGAACAUAAAAUAAUGGGUGAAGAUAUUUUAGCUGAUAAUGGGUGAAGGGAUAUUUUUUUUCUAAUUGAAAACGACUUGUCAGCUUUAGAAAAUGCAUGCAGGGCCCAGUUUAAUUUCAAUUUCUCAUACUCUCGUUAAUGCAAGUUUGGACAGCUUGGGGAUGUGUCGUCCAUCCGGUUUCCUUUUUUGAUCGGGAGUCAAUGGGAUUAGUAAUUGACACUUCAUCAUCAAAUCAAAAUUAAAAAUGUUAAUGAACUCACAAUUAAUUGCCAUUAAGCUCCAUUGAGUGUAAACAAUGAAUUUAUAAAAUAGUCAAAAGUGGGAUGUCGUGAUUUCAACAAUGCCGUUUCAGAAAAUUGAUAGUCAUGAUGAAAAGAAGAAGACAGAAUUGUUGAGUUGAAACGUGAACGUCGUGUUCUCCUGAUCAAUUGUAUAGUGAAGAUGGUGGAACUGAUGCGGGUGCAUAGCACCAACCAUUACUUCCCUAAUGAUUUCCUUGCGGAAGAAAUUAUUACAUUUUUAAAGUUAAAAGUGCUAAAGCACAAUUCAAAGAAAAUAAGCAGUACUAAACUUAACAAGCUAGUUCAAUGGAGGAGAAUGGUGUGCUGAAACACUAUGAUUUUCAAAAAAAUUGAAGCAUAUCAGAUCCAUGCUGCUGCAUUCGCAAGAAACGAGCACCCAUCAACAAUGUGCUAAAUGUCAAUGCAGAGCUUUAAAUCAUCUACAGAGGCUCAUGAAGAAAAUAGGCAUAAAUGAUAACAGAUAACACACCAGAGCACUCUACGUAAACUGAUAUCUUUAGAAAAUUCAAAGGCAUGAAUGAAAAAGAAAAGCUAGAAAUAUCUAAGUCAGCUCUUAAUUUGUAACAGUCCACAACUUCAUGUUUGGUGUGUACUGUAAACUAUGCUCUCCACAUAAUCAUGAGCUUCAUCUGCAAAAAACCAUUUUCACUUCUUGGGACAAGGGAUCAAAAAAAUACAAACCUGUUGUUGGAUUACAUUCAUAAUUUAUAUCAAGCACUAGAUGCUGCUCGAAGGAAGUCCUUCAAGGAAAAAAAUCAGGAACAAAAAUGCUGAGAGGUCCAUCUUGGAGGUCAGAAAGCUGGAGUUCUACUAGAAGAAGAUACCUCUGGAGAGAGAAAUAAAGGAAGCCUGAACUGCUUAGAGUUUUCUUACCGAAGCUUCAAGUUAAGAUCAUUUUCAUUUCAAUUUGGAUGUAGAAAUAAUGAUGGGAUGUGAAAAUUAUAUUUUCAUUUCAGAGAGCUGGUUGAUUAUAUUUUGAAAAAGGGUAUAUAUGAAAGUUAAAUCCUCUGUUCAAAUGAACAAAGGGAUCAACUUGAGCAAGAGUCAACAAGCUAUCCUUCGAGGUCAAUGGAACAUACCACUCAUAUUAAUCUUCUACUAUUUAGGGGAAUUCAUACAUCCACUCAUCUUAAGCUGGAAAACUUAUGGAAAGCAUUCGCAAUUGUUUCCAAUGUAUCGACUGUAAUCAAUCAAUAGAUCAUCAACUAUUGUCCUCAUUGAAAGUUUCCUGCUCCCUAUAUAGAGAAUGUCUGAUUAAUUUCAUUAAAUAUGCAUGAUUCCACUGUAUGUUAGCUAACCAAAAGAGCCUACAGGCCAAAUAAACAACAGGAAUAAGAGAAACUACUUCCAACGCCAUCAUUUCUCCUUUCUAGUAUCAUCUUUUGUUUAAUGUUUAAUGCUCGUAGCCUCUGAGCACUCCAAACUAAUUUUUAAAAUAAAAUAUCAAGAGAUGGCAGAAAAUGAAUGUGCUCAUCAACUAUUUUCCUCAUUGAAAGUAUACUGUGGUAUUUUAAAUUGCUCCAGUUUUUAAAAAAUAGAAGGCCACAGGCCAAAGAAACAACAGGGAUAAGAGAAACCGUUUUUUAUUUGAGAAAAUACGAUACUGCAAACUAUUUCUUAUGAAUAAAUCCCGUAUUACAAGAAGCCAAGAAUUGGUUGGUUGCUCAGCACAACAUAACUCAACAUAACUGAUACAAACAAUUACUGAUACAAGCACAAGGACAAACACAAGUCACAUCAAAAUAGAAAGGCUAAGCAACAAGAACACUUCUCACAGGCAAAUUGCUAAACAUGCAGUGAGCAACCAUUGAUUUGGAAUGCGACUGCUUCUCCACAGAGGAUUGCAACAAAUUCAGAAAGCAGCCCACACGCUCCUGAUAAGAUCCAAUCACCUUCUGAAUCUGGACAACUUGGGAAAGUUAAUUGCCAAAAAGCAGCAGCAAGUGUCAAUGCAUUCUUCAAUGAAGUAAAACCACCUGCGACGCCAAUGCGGAUUUAUGCACAGUACUGCUGCAAUUGUCAACACCACAGUUAUGUAAAACACACCAAAGCUGGCAUAGAAACUGUCCAUGUCUAUGAAGCCACCAUCUCCAUUGAAAUCAUUAGGCACUCUCGCGGAUGGUGAUUCUGUUUUGUCGCAACUAUUUUGCAAUGGAGGUCCACAAAGAAGAGGAUUCCCUUUAUAACUGCUUUCAUCAAAGGUACCAAAUUGAUUUUUCAUCUCCGGUGUUCUUCCUGACAAAUUAUUGUACGACACGUUAAAAACUGCUAGAAAGGUCAGUUCAACGAGUUGUGCAGGAAUUCUCCCAUUCAAAUUGUUGUGAGAAAGAUCCAAGCUCUCUAGCUGCUUCAGAUUGAAGAAGGAUGAAGGGAUCAAUCCAGUGAGAUUAUUUUGUGACAGAUUUAGAGAAUGUAUCCCACUUAAGUUUCCCCAUUCUAUCGGGAUUUCUCCAGUGAAUCUGUUACAAGAAAGAUCCAAAGCAGACAUGUAACGAAGGAUUUCGCCUUCAUAAGUGUAGAAGUUUUUCUUUGUUGUAAGCUCUACAGUUAUUUUUACACUGAUCUCUGGCCACAAAAUUUUAUCAUGAAGAUAACCUUCGUUCUCCAAUUCUCUCCCCCAUGUGGAUGCAAAUAUUUCUUCAUCUAGUGAGUACUUCACACUAGUGUCAAGCACAGUUAUUUCUUCAUCUUGUGACUCCAUACUAGUGUCAACCAAAGUUUCUUCAUCUAAUGCCAUAAAAUUUAAAUUGCUCAAACAUGAGGGUAACGGACCAGAAAAGUUAUUUUCUGAAAGAUCCAAUAUGUUUAAUUUCCUUAACAAGCAUAACUGAUGAGGUAGUUUCCCAUUGAAUUGAUUAGAUUUGAGAACAAAAAUGCUCAAUUCCGAAAGGCUAUAAAUCCAAUUUGGAAUGGGCCCAGUUAAGUUGUUAUCGCCGAGAUCUAAUGUCACCAACGAAGAGAGAUUACAAAAAGCAUAUGGCAGUGGACCGCUCAAUUGAUUUCUAUAAAGGUGGACAUAGUGUAAAUCUGAUGCAAGGAAGCCCAACGACAAAGACAAAGACCCAGACAGAUUGUUUUCAGAAAGAUCUAAAAAUUCAAGCCCAGAAGAAUUGAAAUAUUCUAUUGGAAUGGUACCUUCAAAAUGAUUUCUGGACAAAUCAAUUCCAUCAAGUUCGUUUAGUGAAGAGUUCCCAAUUCCCCUUGGAAGCAUGCCUGACAAAAGAUUGUUACUGAUAACAAACCACGAAAAUGAUGAUGCAAGAGAAAAGGUAUCAGAUACUUGUCCUGCAAAUUUGUUUCCAUCUAGAAAGAGGUAAAGUAGAUCAGUCAUGUUGAACACAGAUGGUGGUAAUCGCCCAUUGAAGUUGUUGUUGGACAACUUCAAAAACCACAACGAGGAGCCUACUGUUGGCAAAUUAUGCUCAAGCAGUUCACAAGACAUAUGAUUGUUGGAAAGAUCCAAGUAUCCGAGAGAGCUCAUAUUCCCAAAACAAGGAGGAAUGCAACCUGUGAGGCUAUUGUUAGCCAUCAAGAAGUUCUUUAACCGUGGAAAAAUUGAACAUAUGUUCCUUGCAAUUUGACCAUGUAUGGUGUUGCCAGACAUAUCUAUUGUAUGAAGAUUGGGUGUUGGAUGUUGUGGCAGCUGCAAAGGACCUAUAAAUGAGGUGUCUCUCAAAUAUAGUCGAUUUAACUUUGUAUUAUUCUCAAACAGCCAAGACGGGAAAGGUUCUCCAAUGAAUUUGUUGUGGGAUAGAUCAACAAACACCAAAUCAUGUUGGCUAUGCAGGAAGUUUGGAAAUCUAGCUUUGAGUGGUUUUGAAGUACAGUUUGCAGCACUGAAGUAAAGAAGCUGUAACUUGGGAGCUGAAGGCUGAAAACUGGGUGCAGCUAUUAGCUCAUUGUUAUCGCAUACAAUGAACUUGAGGUUGGAGAGGUUCAUAAAUGAACCAAAUGAUAUUGGAACUUGAAAGUAGUUAUUUGAAACUUUGAGGUAUCUGAGCUGCGUAAGAUGGGAAAGGUGACUAGAGGCAAUAUUCCCCUUCAAUUGGUUGUCAGAUAAAUCCAAGAUUUGUAGAGAUGAUAGAUUUCCCAAACAAUGAGGGAGUGAGCCCUUUAGAUUGUUUCCUGAGAUAAGUAGUUGUUCAAGAUUCUUCAGAUUCUUCAGUUCACACCAGCCUGUAGAAUAUAUUAAUAUAUUCAUGUUAAGGGAAUAAUAAUAUAUCAAUUAUGCAAGUGCUUAGUGAGGUUUUAAAGUUUUAGUUGAUUUUUGUUUCAAUAGCUAGGUCAGUUCUAGAUUAUAUUUAAACAACUUUGUUUGUUAGUUUUUUUAGAGAUUAAUUAUCUAGAUUAUUGAUAUUCAAAAUUUUUUUAAUUCAAAUUUUUUUCUAUAAUUUAAGACUGGGAAGUUUUAGAGAUUAAGAAACUCUAGAUUUUUGGUCAAGAAGGAUAGAGUGGAAGUAUCCAUUUUGUGUAUUGUAAUAUAAUCAUCUGUUAAAUAGAAGGAAAACAGAGAAAUAAAUGAGAGGAGAAUGAUUUUGUUAUUUCUUGUGUGCGUAAUCCUCCUACCAUUAUAUAUAUACUUCCCCACAUGCAUUACACGAUUUAUUAUAUUGUUAACUAACUCUACCCGACUCUUAACAACUUCUAACACGUGUCCAUGCAUCUGCUAGUUACCCUAAAUUUAAGACUGAGAAAUUUUAGAUUGAGAAACUCUAGAUUUUAUCCUUUUCUAUAUGUAACAUUAGGAGUAAACUUCUAACAUAUCACCUCCAUUCCUUUAAUAAAAUUUUAAAAAUUGAACAAAAGUUAAUGGUUAAUACACAUCUAUUUAUUAGACAAGUUCACUAAAAAAUAAAUUAAGCCUCACUAAGGAAUGCCAUUCAAGAUAGGAAUGAUUUACAACUUUAUCAUUAAUACUAGUUGAUCCUGUCAACAUGUUUUUGAUAAAUAUAGAGAUUUGAGAGUUGAAAACCCACUUAAAGAUGAUAAAACACUGUCAUUAAAUUUACUGUAACUCAGAUCAAGUUCUUUCAAAUUCCUCAACCCUCAAGCUAAUACUUGAAAACAUGAAAGAAAAUUAUGGGAAACAAAGAAAUUAACAGAUAUAUACAGAUUUAUAUAUCAAUCAUCCCAAUAUCCAUAAAGAUUCAAUGUAAAGUUACUUGAAAUAUAAUUAACUUUAUGUGUUAACUAAAAGAAAAUUGAAAGCAUAGAACCUUGGUUCUUGAAGCCACCAACUAAUUGGUUGAAGCUUAAGUCGAGAAUCUCCAGUUCUUUGAAAGGCAGAAACAAAGACGCAUUGAGAUACAAGUACUCUUCGACUGCAUUGAGACCCAAGUCCUCAUAAUUUACACCUGAAAGAUGUAGUUCGAUCACUCGGUUUGUGGUGUUGUCACACACAACCCUAUGCGGAUCCCAGUCACAGCAAUUAAAAUACUCUUUAUCCCAACCUUCUAGCUGAUCAUAGGACCCAGCUGCACGUGCAUGAUUGAACCAAGCUUUUAUCUCUAAGAGACUAACUCUCUCUUCCUCCACACAACAAUGGCUCCGGUCGUUGACGAAGGACAGUGCCAUGAGGAGCAUCCACACCCACAUUUCCCUCAUCUUCAUAACGCUCCACUUGACCACAUACAAAAGCAAGCAAGCAAGCUGUCUCUUAUAUACAAUUUAAUUUGUCCUCUUCAUGCGUUUGAUCAUAGGAUUUUCCCGUGAUAAACUUUUAGACUUUGGUGGUCUCCUCACGAUCUUUUUUCAGAGAAAUCUGCUUCUCAUUUGUAGUUUGCCAUCUUCCUACUGUCGCACUAGCUUUAAUGAUAUGUCCACUUGAUUAUUAUAAAAGAAAAAUAAAAAUACUCCACGUCCACUAUUGUCAGCUUUCGAGAACGCAUGCAGGACCCAGUUUAAUCUCAAUAUGGAUUUUUAUAAGCAAAUCUUAGAGAAACAGUUUCCUGCAUAAUUACUAGAAUUUUUUGGUUUGAUUUAAUUUGAUAUUAAUGAUUUUUCACCUUUUGUCUGAGAUCAAGUACCUAAUGAAACCUUGAAUGGAGCACCCAUUUGUACGCAUAUGCUUGACUUGAGGUCUGCCAUUUUGAUUUUAAAAUACCAUCAAGCAGUAAUUUCUUGGCGGUUUCCUUAUAGAAACUGGUGGUCUCCUCACGACCUUUUAAUUUAAAAAAAAACUCUUGUCGGAGCAUGAUUUAAAAGCUAGGAUUCAACCAGUAUCAGGGAAUGACUGUCAUCUUUUAAAGAAAUUUGAUCACCCACUUUCACUUGUUUUUCGUUGUGGACCUCCGUUGCGAAGUUGCAGUGAAACAAACUCGCAAUUGCAGCAGGUGCCUAAUAAUGAACAAGAAGAUAAUGGUUUCAUAGAUAAUAUUGGGGGAGCAAAUGAGCAAUUAUAAUAUUGGGGGGGAGCAAUUAUAUUGGGGGAGGGCCGGACCAAUUAUAUUGGGGGCCUUUAAAUUGAAAUCGUAAAAUCGGUCCUAAUAUCGUGAUUUUGCGCGAUAUCAUCCGUUUUUUGCGAUUUUACCUGAUUUCAACCUGAUUUUAUCCAUUUUCGAUUUUUUUAACCGAUUCAACUCGUAAUGCAUGUUUUGACUCGUAAAAUCGUACGAUUUUACGAGUCACGCGAUUUUGACAACCUUGGUGACGAUGGUGGAACUGAUGCGGUUGCAUAGCAGCACCAACCAGUACUUUAAUUUCCUAAUGAUUUCCUUGCGGAAGAAAUUAUGGCAUGUUGGAAAACGAUGCCACCCUAACAAUCCAAGAGCUCAAAUUCAACUUGAAUAAAAGCAUGAUAAAUGGAUAAUUUAGAGGAGAAAGGAUCCAAGAACAUCAUGAAACAGGGGAUUGUUAUAUUUUGUUACCCUAACAAUCCAAGAGCUCAAAUUCAACUUGAAUAAAAGCAUGAUAAUUUAGUGGAGAAAGGACCAAGAACAUCAUGAAACAGGGGAUUGUUCUAUUUUGUUAUGUAACAAUCUCAACAGCUAAUUAAGAGGUUAGAUUGUAGGGUCUAAUUUCAAAUGCAAGACUCUAUUGAUUCUCAUCAUUAUAGUAAUAAAACCAUGUGCAUUUUUAUUAAAUUAAGAGGAAACACAAAAUUAAACAAGAAAAUCUUCAGAGUUCAGAAAUAAAUCUAACAUUGCCGAACAGACUGUGAGCAAACCCAGAUUUGGUGGAAGAUAGAAAUAUGAAGAGAGAGCAGAAAUCUUAGAUAAUUCUAUGAAGAGAGAGCAGAAAUCUUAGAUAACAGUUUGUAGAAUAUUGUUGUUUGUUAUGUGAGUUUGGGCAACCAUAGGUCCUAUUUAUAACACGCUUUGUCCAUUUCCAUGACUUUUAUCUGCGUACCUGGUGCCGAUUCUAUGUUUUGAGAUGUUUUCUUUAUUUCAUUUCUUUUUUUAAUAGUUUUGGAUUCGAAUAUUAUUUCAUUUAUUUGUUUAGCCUUAGGUGUAUUUGGGAAUGUGUUUUUCGUUGUUUUUCAAAGUAGUUUUCACUUGGAAAUGUAUCAACAUGAUAUUGUUUGGCCUUAGGGUAUGUUUAGUAGUGUGGUUAGAUGUCUUAAUACGAACCUUGAAAACAUGGUCAAAACAAUAUUUUAUAAAAAUUUGAUUUUUUAUUAAAAUUAUUUUUUAUAUAUUUUUAGUUAGUUAUAAUGUAUUAAUAUCAAAAAUAAAUUUUAGAAAAUAAAAAAUAUAUUAUUUUGAUAUAUAUUCGAGCAAAAAUAUAUUUUAAAAAACAACCCUUAUUACAAUAAUGGUGAUUUCCUUAUGCAUACUAGCGGUCUUCAUUAAUAUUUCAAAAAAUCAUCAUUAAACCUGGUUUGGGGUUGACUAGGAAUAAGGCUGGGGUCAUGAUUUUUUUUAUUAGGUCACUAGAUUAACUUAGAUCAACUCCAAUAUAUAUAUAUAUAUAUAUAUUCAAGUCAAGCUAAGCAUUAACCGAGUCACUUAGAUUUUUCCCUUUUUCAAUUUUUUUAAACUUGUCCCGGUUUUGAUCCUCAAUCAAAUGGGUUUCAUCUUGAUUUAUCUAUAUGUUAAAUUACUUGAUUAACUAAAUUAAUUCUGUAAUAUUGAAUUAUUUGAUGAAAACAUUAUCUAAAACAUGAUUAAUCUUACUUUUAAUAUUAAAAAUUAUGUUUCAACAUAAACUCUUUAAUGUAAAAAUUUAACAUAAUUAAAAUAAAUAGUGAUUACCGUUUCAGCAAUUGAUUUGAUCUUGGCCUUACAAUUAUUUUCAUUAGUCUGUUAAUGUUUUUCUUCAAGCUUAUGGAAAGGGAGGUUUCUCCAACUUGUUGUGUAAGCUCCUUUGCUUUUUGUUUUUCAUAGACUUGGGAAGUCAUUUGUCUCUUAUAACACAAUAAUUGAUGUGUGAAACAACAUCGUUUUAUAUGGAAAAAAAAUAAAGAGUUAACCGAGUAUUUAUUCAAGUCAUGCCAAUCAUUAACCGAGUCAUUUGGAUUUUUUUUCCUUUUUUAUUUUGUAAACUCGACCUUGUUUUGGGCUCCGUUUGUUUGCAGGAAAGUGGUUUCCUUUUGGAAAGUGAAUUCCGGGGAAAGUGAAUUUCUGAAAAGUGAAUUCCGGGAAAGUAUUUUCCGAUGUUUGGUAGUGUUAUGGAAAAUGAACUGGAAAAUAAUUUAUUAAUGAAUUAAAUUUUUUUUCAAGUUUAUCUAAUAUAUAUAAAAUAUUUAAUCACUUACAAUUGUCAUAACCCAAUUUUUGACCCUUUUUUAUUUUUAUUAUUUUAAAAAAAAAGAUGAUGAAAAAUAAAAAUAAAAUAAAUGAAGAAUGAAUUAAAAUUUGGGUUAAGGGCAACAUGAUUGGAAGUUUAAAGAUUUAAUUAAACUCUUGACUAGUUUAAUUAAUUAAAUCAAGGUUUUAAUUGGAGAAUUGAUUUAAUUAAAAUUUAGAUUAUUUUAAUUAAUGAAAUCAAGAGUUUAAUUGAAGAAUUAAUGAGUUUGAGGACUUAAUUAUACUUUGAUUUAAUCAAAAAUCCAGGACUGUUGUGUAAAUGGCGCUAUAACUCAAGGAUUCAAUUGAAUUUAAUCCAAGGGCACAAUUAGAAAUCAAUUAUUUCUGAUUAGGGUCCCAAUUGUUAAGUUUACACUGUCUAGGGACUAAAUUGAAAAACAGCCAUGCCCAAGGACACAACGGCGCCGUUUUGGAAGCAUUGUUCAUCGUCUCCUACGCUUGCGCGGAUGAAGCCUUGUUCAACAGGGAAAUCUGCUGCAACAAAUCCGGUCAUGGACCAUAUCUCUUGCCCACGAUCUCGUUCGUGGAUUCCAUAACAGUCCUGCAAAUGUAGGACUGGUUGAGGGGAAGCUUCUCUAUAAAAGGGGGGACGCAAGCACACCAGGAAAAAAAACCCAUCAUAAACAGAAGAAAAACUCGGGGAAGAGGCCAGCAACCAAAAACCAGGAACGAGUGACCGAAGACCAGAACGAAACAGAGGCAGAAGACGCAAGAGGAGGAAGAACAACAGGUGACGAACAGAGAGGAGAGGAAUUAAAGGGAGCCGAAAAUCAAAGAAAAAACCCAGAAUAACAGAGAAGCAAACGAAACAGAACCAGAAGAGUAGAGGAAAAGCAGAAACAUAAAGCCUGCCAAUCAUCGUCUUCACCACAGCACCUGAACCAGCAAAACAGAGGAAGAAGGGCAGGGGAAACAGGCCAAGAACCAUAAAAAAUGGAGGACGAACAGUGACAAUAAAAAAAAGAACCACCCGAGAGAACCGGCUUCGUCUUCAUCUUCAGGAGCAGCAGACCACAUGUAAUCUUCCCUUUGCAUUUUAAUUCACUGCUACAAUAGCAGUGAAUUAUAAUUCACUUGCUACUGUAGCAAGUAAAUAAUAAUUCAUUGGCCCAGCUGUAUUCUCAUUGAACAGCUGAGGGUAUGUAGAAAAAAGGAAAGUGUUUUUUUUUCUUUACAUAAGAAAAACAUUUCCCUUUAGCAACGUUAUUAUUUUUAGGUUGACUGGAAUUCAUUUUUCUUUGAUUAUUUUCCCUUUCUUGUCAUCAAACAUAGAAAAAGCAGGAAAGUAAAUUCCAAGAAUUCACUUUACUGCAAUCAAACACGGCCUUGAUCCUCAAUCAAACGGGUCUCAUCUCGAUUUUAUAAAAACUAUCCAAUGAUGUUGAUUCGAGGAUGUUCACAAGCUUUUCGCUGUUGGAAGUUUGCAAGCGAAUCUCGUUUUUACCAUCCAAAAAAACUUCUUUUGUACAUCUUCUCACAUGUCAAGGCACAUUUUGAUUAGGGAGACCGUAUAACUUUAUUUCGUUCAAUUUAUGCUGUUUGACAUAUAAAUAUUGUUCAAUGUAAAUCAACUUUUCAUUGUUUUCAAAAAAAUUUCACCUAGUUUAAAUCGAAACAAAUGCUUGCCAGUAGUUAAUAUUAAUUGAGAUAUGUGUUUGGGAGUGUGAAGUGAAGUGAUUAUAUUUUAUUUAAAAAUAAAAAUAAAAUUUUUUUGACACGCAACCGCCGCGAUUAAGUAAAAAAAAAAAAUAGCGCGAAAAGUGCCAAAGGCCCAAAUGUACGCCAAUUUGCAAUGGCAAGUCCCGUAAUUAUUUCAAAAUCAAAUGUGAAAAAUUGAAAGUCACAAGAAGGCAUGAAAAUAUCCUCUUAUUUGAACUUUUAUCUCGUUUAUAUCCUUUUACUCUUUUCUUCAUGUAUAGACAUGGAAAGUCAUGUUCUGAUUUGUUCCUGUGGAAUCAAAAAAUUUCUUCCUCAAUUUUUUUUAUGGAAUGAAGUGAUUUCCCGGUAGCUUCACCAUCCACUUGCAAUUUAUAUAUAUAUAUAUAUAUAUAUAUAUAUAUAUAACUGCCAAAGAAAAAAAUGCAUUGAUUAAAAUAUUGAUGUGUUUGAAUGAAGAAAGUCAGGGCAGAGAUGACCAACAAAAACCACCGUGUGGGCCAAUAAAAUGAAAAUAAAAGACAAUAUCAAUGGCUUGCAAUAAAACAGUGUUUGUUUUAUGUUAAAUUACUUGAUUAACUAAACUUAAUCUUGUAAUAUUGAAUUAUUUGAUGAAAACAUUAUCUAAAACAUGAUCAAUUGAUAUAUCUAAAGUCAAAUAAAAAGUUUAUACUAUACUUUGCCAUUUUCAUGAUUUUAUCUGCAUAUAUUGUUCAGUUUCCAUGAUUUUAUCUGGGAGGAGUCAAUUUAAGUUAUUUGCAUGCCACUUUCUCAGCAAUUGUUGUCCUAUUUUGUGCUAAAUGUCGGGUGUAUAUUAAAUUAGUCAAAAGUUGCAUAACCCGCUUUCUCCAUUACUGUUCUGUAACAAUAUUUUGAUAGCCCUUUAGCAUUAAUACUAUUUAAUUUGUCCUCUUCAUGCGUUUGAUCGGACAGUGACAAUUAUCUGUAUCAUUGAAUUUUCUAUGCUGAAUUAAUUAUCCAAGGGAGACUUGGGCUUCAUUGAAUGGGAGAAUCUUCACGGACAGUGCUAGCCAGGGGACCGCACCACGGCACAGAUCACUCGGUUUGUGGUGUUGGAUUAGGGUGUUUGGGAGUGUGGUAGCGGUUGCUUUUCAAAUAGCUUUUCGUGCCGAAAAGCAUGCCAAUAAUGUUUUUUUAUUUUUUAAAAAUCAUUUUUGACAUCAGCACAUCAAAACGAUCCAAAAAGUACAAACCGCACUCAAUUUUAACAAAAAUAAAUAAAUAAAAAAUUUUUGAAUUUUUUCAAAAAACCGGUUUGGCCGCAUUGCCAAACAAACCGGUUUGUGGUGUUGGAUUAAAGGAUAUUCCAACUUCUUGUUUACUGCUUUACUUUUCUUCAUAGACUUGGGAAGUCAAGAUUCCUAUAAUCCACAUCAUCAAAAUAAAUUUUAAUUAUUUGAGCGAUUCAUUUGAUAUUAACCCCACAAUUAUUUUAAUUAGUCUGUUAAUGUUUUUCUUCAAGCUUGUGGAGCCGCAUGUUCACCAACUAUUUUGUUUUUUUUUUCUUUGUAUAUUUAAAAAGUCAUUUAAUUUAAGUUUUUAUGGUAAUUUAUUUUUGUGUUUUAAAAGUAUUUUUAAAUAAAUUUAAUUUUUUUUAUUUUUUAUUAACUUCAAAUUAAUAUAGUUUUAGUAUUUUUAAAUUAUUUUGAUGUGCUGAUAUUAAAAAUAAUUUUUAAAAAAUAAAAAAAUAUUAUUAAUAUAUAUUUUAAUAUAAAAAAUUAUUUAAAAAACAACCACAAUUAGAUGUUGUAGUGCUUGUUUUUAUUCUUCGUAGACCUAUGAAGUCAAAAUUCCCAAUUAUCCACUGCAUCAAUCUCUAUCCCAUUAAAAUGAAUUUGGUGCAAGAAAAUGAAUUUUAAUAUUAUUAAUAUAUAUUUUUUAAAAAAUAUAGCGUAUAAAAAAGGAAAUCCUGUAUCAUAUCUUUCACAAAUCUUAAAUAAUUAAUGAGAAAGCAGAACAAGGAUAAAACAACAUUGUUUUUUAUAUAUAAAAAAUAAAUAAUUAAUAGAUUGCAAUUAGGUAUUUAUUCAAGUCAGGCCAACUAUUAACCGAGUCACUUGGAUUUCUCAUUAUGCAUAUUUAAGAUUGCUAAAAAAAAAAAAUUAGUUUAAUUUCACAUAUAAGCUAAUUCGAUAACACUUUUUAAUAUAAAACCAAAAAAAAUGAGUGCUAUCGUCAUCAACUUUAUUUGGUUUAAAUUUAUGACGUUUGACAUAUAAAUUCUAUUCAAUUUAAAUCAACUUUUCAAUAAAUAGUUAAUGUUAAUGAGCACAGUAGCGAGAACUAAGCAGUGUUAUGUGUAUUUGGGACUGUGAAUACUGUACACUUUGGCUCUCUUCAUAGAGUCAAUUGACUUUCACACGUAGGGCAUGUUUGUUUCCCGAAAAACAGUUUUCGGGAAACCAUUUUCCAAACUUUCCUGUGUUUGUUUGUUAUUAGGAAAGUUGGUCAACGGAAAAUACAUUUCGGUCAACGGAAAACACUUUAUAGUCAACGGAAAACACUUUCCAGUCAAAGAAAAAUUUGACUUGGUUUUCAGGAAAGUGUUUUCCCUUUAGCUGUGUUUGUUUUCCGGAAAGUGGUUUCCGGAAAAUCACUUUCCAAUCCGGUCAACGGAAAACACUUUCCAGUCAAAGAAAAAUUUGACUUGGUUUUCAGGAAAGUGUUUUCCCUUUAGUUGUGUUUGUUUUUCGGAAAGUGAUUUCCGGGAAAUCACUUUCCAAACUUUCUUUUGUUUGUUUGCUAGUAGGAAAGUUGUUCAAUGGAAAACACUUUCCAGUAAAAUGAAAGUUUGGCUUGGUUUUCAGGAAAGUUUUUUCCUGAAAAAUUUGAGGGGAAAACACUUUCCGGAAGUUGUGAAAAAUUUAGAAAUAUCAUUAUUUGUUGAUUAUAUCAAAUUUGAUCCUCAAACUUUUGAUUGCUAUAUAUAUAUAUAUAUAUAUAUAUAUUGAGUAUUUAUUUUUCAAUUUCAUCUCUUAAAAUUUUAUUUUUAUAUUAACUUUGGUCUUUAUUUUUAUAUUUGCUUUUUGCUUUUUCCUUAUCAUUUUUUUAUUGAAAUUUUGUAUCUAUCAAAUUUGGUCUUCAUUCUUUUGAUUGUUACUUAUUUUAUUUGAAACAAUUUAUAAAAUGUUGAUUAUUAUUAUUUUAAUUUCUUCAUCUUUUUUUUAAUUUUUUAGAUUUGAUCUCUAUUAUUUUGAUUAUUAUUUAUUUUAUUUGAGAUAAUUUAUGAAAUUAUUUUUUUUUUUCAAUUUCAUUCUCAUUCAACUUUUUAAUUUAUAAGAUUUGUUUCUCAUUAUUUUAAUACACUUGAGAAAAAUAAAAUAUUAAUAAGUUAUUUUCCAGCUCAUUUUCCAUGACAUAACCAAACACUGGAAAGUGUUUUCCAACUCAUUUUCCAUUACACUACCAAACAUCGGAAAAUACUUUCUCGGAAUUCACUUUCCUCAGAAUUCACUUUCCAAAAGGAAACUACUUUCCAGCAAACAAACGGAGCCGUAGUAAAAAUGAAAAACAAAUUACUCCGUGGAUUGGUGAUUAAACUACAAUACUAAAUAUACCCCCUGAUCUGUGGAUUUGUGAUUAAACUUGGAAAAAAACAACAAUACUCUAAAAAGCCAUAUGUGAAUUUGUGAUGAAGAAAAUUCAUUAUUUUUAUUUUUUUUUGACAUAUUAGGUUCCACUAGAUGCACCAAGUCAAUGUGAGUGGUUGUCUUUUUUCUUAUUUAUGAGAAUCCAAUAGAGGCAUCAAGUCUAGGGCUCCACAAUGUCUGCCACUAGUCAAUUUCCUCCAACUUGUUGUGUAAAUUACUUUGUUUUCUCUUCAUAUAUAGACAUGGAAAGUCACGUGAUCUAAUGGAAUACAAAAAUUUCUUCCUCAACUCUUUUCAUGGAAUGAAGUGAUUUCCCGGUAGCUUCAUCAUCCACUUGCACUUUUUUUUCUCCGUAGACUUGUGAAGUCGGUCAAGAUUCCCAAUAUAUUAUCAACAUCAUCAAUUUAAAAAAGAAAUAUAUGUUAGGCUGAUUUACUUUCAUAUUAAUUAUUGUUUGAAUAUUCUUCAUCUGAAUGAUAUUAGUCCAUUCAAAACAAAUUCAUUUUCUUUUUUAUAAAUAUAUUUAUAUAACUACCAAAGAAGAAAAUGCAUUGAUUAAAAUAUUAUUGAUGUGUUUGAAUGAAGAAAGUUAGGGCAGCGAUGACCAACAUAAACACCGUGUGAGCCAAUAAAAUUGAAAACAAAAGACAAUAUCAAUGGAUUGCAAAAAAAAAAAAGUUUUAUGUUAAAUUUAUCUAUAUGUUAAAUUACUUGAUUAACUAAACUUAAUCAUUUAAUAUUGAAUUACUUGAUGAAAACAUUACCUAAAAUAUAAUUAAUUGACAUAUUUAAAGUCAAAUAAAAAACAAACCCCGCUUAUUUUUAAUAUUAAAUAUUAUUUUUUAAUAUAAAUUCUUCAACAUGAAAAAUUAACAAAAUUUAAAUAAAUUGUGAUUACUGUUUGAGCGAUUGAUUUGAUCUUGGACCCAUAAUUAUUUUCGUUAGUCUGUUAAUGUUUUUCUUCAAGCUUGUGAAAUUGUUACCCAUGUAAAUGCUAUGUUUCUCUUUAGAUUUUUUCCUACCCUUGAAACUGUUAUGAACAUAAGUAAAAGAGAUGAAAACUCCUUUACCCACGUAUCGAGUGUCGCACGUGUACGACAGCGCGACGAAUCGUCCACCCUCAAAUGAAAAAAAAUCGGAAUAUUUAUUCCUGGAAAAUAGUCAGAGACAAGGAAUUCUUGUCUCUACAAGUAAAAAUAUGGACUGGGAGACUGGUUACUAGGAACUUUAACUGGUCUUUAGAGAUCGGGUACGGAGACUGGUUACGUAAAAGAAAGGUAUAAGCACCCCAAUUACACCCUACCUAAGGUAGGCUGCAUUGUUUUAAUGUCUGAUAACAUCUAAGGUCGUGUUUGUGGAUUUUAAUAUUAUUGUUCGGAAUACGCAUUACAUGUAAUGUCAUAUCCCAAGUUCUAUUAAAAAAAAAUUAAAUAUCCGGAAUAUGUAUUGUGUAUAAUGUAUAAUGUCAUACCCCGGAUAUUAAAAGAUAAACAAAAUAAAAUUUUUGUUGUUUUUUUGAAAUUUUGGCCAAUAUUCUCUUGACUUUAAUAAACUGGUUAUUAAAGCCAAAAUGCAUGCUAAAACAUUGUUUUUCUCUUUUUUUUAAUUUGUUUUUGUAUUCUUGAAAGUCGAAAACCGGGUAUUUCAGUACCAGAUUUGUAUUUUACGACAUAAAAAUAUUGCCCGAUAUUAAUCAAAAUGACAUAAAAACUACGCGGAAAAAUUAUAAAAUGCUGAAACAAAUAUUUUUGAUUUUUUUUUGAAUGGGCCGGGUGAACAGUAUCGUGUGAACAGUAAUGAAUACGGGGUAUUUUAAUACCAGAUUUAUAUUUUUACGAUGUAAAAUACAGACGAUAUUAAGCAAAAUGAUAGAAGAAAACGUGCUUUUUUAAAAAUAUGUAUAUAUAUAUAUAUAUAUAUAUAACUUAUAACAAAAAAAUAAAAAUAAAUAAAUAAAUAACUGGCCGGACCCGACCCAAAUGCAUGGGCCGGGCCGACCAAGCCUAUUUACAUGGGCUGGGCCAAAGGCCCAAACGGGCUGGUUACUGUGCAUCAGCACAGUAACCAGCCCUUCCUUAUUUGCAGAACGUGAAAUAAUUCACGUUCUGCAUGAAGGCACAGCGGAUAACAAAGGGAGGCAGAGGCGGGGCAACAGGAUGGCGUACCUGCGGUGGCGUCGAGGCGGUGCGGCUGGCGGCGGAGGCACGGUGGCCGGCGGAGGCACGGUAGCCGGCGGUUUUCCUUCUCUCUCUCUCCUCUGUUUUUGUUCUCUUCUCUGCCGAUUCUCUUUCUUCUUCUUUUUUCUUUUUCUUUCUGUUUCUCUCGUCUCUCUCUACCCUCUUUCUGUCGUGCAAUCCUUCUCCUUCUCCCCCUCUUUUUUUUUCUUCUCUGCUUCGGUCCCCUUCCACUGUUUUUAUAGGAAAAAAUAGGGGGGCCGAAUGGUGGGGCGGCUUGGCCGCCCCUCCACUAUCCGUUCAAAAGGAGGCAAGUGGGGGUCGAAUGGUAGGCGUCUUAUUGCGCCAAAUCCGGGAAAGAAGUUCGGCGAAAAGUGGAGAAGAAAAAAACUCUUCUCCCUUGUUCUCUGCGUGCGCAGGGAAGAAGACGAUGGUGUCGUUUCAAAACAGCACCGUUUUACGUUUUCUCUCUCUUUUUUUUUUAAAAUAAACAGUGCAUGAAACGACGUCGUUUUGGUCAAAACACGCCGUUUCAUUUAAAAGGAAAAGGCGGUAAAACACGUCAGAUUCAAAUUUAGUCCAUCAAUUUGCGCGCGUUUUACGAUUUCGUCCUUGGUCUCGGAUUUCUGAAAUUAAGUCCUUAAUUGACCAUUAAACUUCAUUCUUUAUGCAAUUAAGCCCCUGAUUUGACCAAAUUAACUUUCAAAAAUUAUAAGUUGACACCAGAACUUUAAUUUCUUCCAAUUCAAGCCCAAAAUAACUCCAAAAUCAAUUGUUUUUGCAAUUAAAACCUCUAUAAAUUCAAUUAAACCUUCAAUAAAAUUUAAUUGAGUCCAUAAACUUCUAAUUUUGCAUUUUUCUUCCUCAAAUUGAAUUUUCUUUAUCAUCGAGGCUCUCAUCAGUCAAUGAUAUACUGUCAGAAAUGAAAUUUUAUUUGUUUGAACAUCCUCAAUCAAUUUUUGAGCAUUUUUAGGGCACUCUGACAUUUUUUUUUUACUGUUAUAUUUUUUGAUAAUAUAUUUUUUUGAAUUGUUUUGUAUUUUUUAGGUGAGGACUCAAAAAUGGGUUACAACAUCGAGCAUACCCUAGUUACAUAACACUAGUUAAAUCUUGACAUAACAGUUCAAGUUAAUUAAUGGCUAGGAUUUUGUUUAGUGGAUUUGUUUUUUGAAAUUAAAUAUCAUAUCAAUAAACAAAUAGCAACUAAAAAUGUAACUAAAAAUAGCAAUAUUUGUUUAAAUAUCAUAUCAAUAAACAAAUGUAACUAAAAAUGUAACUACUAAAAUAGAUAUUUUAUUUUGUUAAUUUUAUUUGAAAAAGCUUUUGAACAUAAGGACUCCAUAUUUUUUUUUUUAUGAUUACUAUAUUGGAUAGGCUUAAUGCCCCGGUAAUAACCAGGAUAGGAGGCCGACUUAAUUAGAGUUGAUAGGGCACAAAUAUAUAUAUAAUGUGCUCCGAUUAAUACAAAAUUAAUUAUAAUAAUAAUUAGGGUUUGUUCUUUUAUUCAGUUUCUUGUUAUCUAUUUUUGGGUUCUCUCACAAAAAAAAUUGCAAGAAAACAAAAAAUAUGAACAAUUGAUUUGAUCUUAUGAAAUACAUGGCAGAAGAGAUUAGAAAAUGAUUUCCAUUUGUCAGAAAUACACCCCAAUAGUCUUAAUUUGAAUUGCACUUUGCACUCCUUUUCCAGCGAUCAAUAGCUAGGAAACCUGUCAGUGAAAUCUUUAUUAUUUGCUCCGGGUUGCUGCUGCUGGUUACUCUGUCACGGAUUAUUAUUUUUCAGUAGUCAGUUAUCCUAGUGCUUGCUUGGACAUGCUCAACAAUGGAGUUCCUCUAAAUGUAAUUACCAAAGUGAAAUCUUCUGUCAAAGUCAUUUCAAGCCGGAAAAGAUCAGGAAAAAGAAGUCUUGAAACAUCAAGCGAAUAGAGCCCAGCAGGAAAAAUUCGUUUCUGACGGUGAGAUUUGUAAUGUGAUCCUAGAUACAAUCUCAUCUCGAUUAGACUCCAGUACUGGAGGAUGUGAUUGCUGAUAUAAAAAAUAAAUAAAUAAAAACACUUAUAUGUUAUUUCUCAGUUCAAAUCUGGUGAUGAGAUUCAUACAGAAGGACUCGUGGCACGGCUGAAGCAGAUCCAAGGUCAAUACUUGAGGAAAAUCUUGGAACCAUUCCAGCUACUAUUAUUUUUUCCAACUAUUAGAUCUUAACAUCAACAGUCAAUAUCGUUGAAAAAAUCAACAUUGAAGCCAUACAAAUUCACGUAAGGGACACACAAACCCCACAAGAAAGAAAGGAAAAGGGCCUCACAAGAAGUAAAUAAAAUCUCACAAUGAGUAAGAAAACCAAACAUAUUGUAGAAUAAAAGUAAGGCAUUGGAUUGAUCGUUCAUUAGCCGUUCAUGAUCAUGAAUCAAAUCAUUACAUAAAUCAUCACCCACGCAAGUAAAAUAAAAAUCAAGGCUUUGGAGAUUGCUUAACCUUUCCAACAGCGUUGCUGUUUCGAUCGGUAGGCUUGAUACUUUUAGUUUUAUCUAUGUUAACACUAUAGGUAAUUAAGAGUUUAUUUGGUAAUGUGGUUACGGUUAUUUUUUAAAUAAUUUUUUGUAUUAAAAUACAUGUCAAUGAUAUUUUGACAUCAGCACAUCAAAAUAAUUUGAAAACACGAAAAACAUAUUAAUUUAAAGUUAAUAAAAAAUUAAAAAAAUUCAAUGAUAUUUUGAUAUUAGCACAUCAAAAUGAUUUGAAAACACGAAAAACAUAUUAAUUUGAAGUUAAUAAAAAUUUAAAAAAAUUUAAAUUUUUAAAAAUAUUUUUAAAAUAUAAAAAGAAACAGGCUCAACCGCGGAAAGUCUUGCAAAACAAAGCAUGUAUAGGGAGGGUGGCAGACACGUAGCUUCGCUGUGAUUUCUUGACAUUAUAUUUUUUAUUGAUUUGUUUUUUUGUAUUUUAUUAUUUUUUAUGCGGACACCCAAAAAUGAGUUACAACAUUAUUUGAGAAUAGACAAAAAAAAAUUUUUAAUUCAGUUAUAGGAUGAUGAAUUCUCUCUUGGUCAUUCAAAUAUCUUCAUAUAGUUUACAUUAUACCUAAUAUUUACUUAUUUUUUACCAUUGAUUAGAAUAAUAUGUAAUCAGGAUCAAAACAUAACACUCCCUAAAUAAAAUAACUUGGUGAUCUCAAGUCCUUUAAUCUUUGGUGCUUCCCUGAAGGUAGAGUUUCAUCUAUGGCUUUUAAUCUUGAAUAAAUUGCCUAAAAAAAAAAAGACUAAAACUGUGAAUUAUAUUUUACUUUAUCAUAAGAUGGUUUAGAAGUUAUGAUAUCGGGUGACAAAAUAGUUGGGACAAUAGUUGAUCUUGCCUCAAUCUUUGGAUGACGUCUUCUUAUUAUGGAAUGGCAUGGUAUAGGGAUUUAUGACAAAAAAAAAGUGGUGUUUAUUCUUCUCUGGUAUAGUUUAGUCUAUUUAGAAUACCUGUAAUAAUAUAAUUUUUAAUGAGAAAGAAACAAAUUAGAAUGGGAUAUAUUAUUUCUUUUUUAAUUGGGCUGUUAUUUGAGCGAAAUAUAAAGAUUUAGAGCUUUUUCUAUACUAGGUUAGAUUUAAUUUGUUCAUCAAAUUAUUUUUUUAUAUGGACUAAAAAUAUAAAUAUGAGAAUUGAUUCUCCAAUAUUAACGCAUCUUCAAAUGACAAAACAGGGUCUUUAAGAAUUGGUGGUGUUUUUAGUGAUAAUGAAGGAAGAUUCCUUUGUAUUUUUUUCUUGUUCAACAGGUAAUAUAGAAUCUAUUGAAAUUGAGGUCUUGUUAAUUUGAAAAGCUAUGAUUGCUACUAUGUUAUUAAUUGAUGAGUUAGAUUCUUACGAUGUCGUUACACGUCAUAAUUAAAGCAUAAAAUGUCGUGCACGCCGAUGCUUGACUUGCGGUUUUCCAUUUUGAUUUUUAAAUACCAGAAAACAGUAAUUUCCUUAUAGAAACUGGUGGUCUCCUCACGACAUUUUUUUCAAAUAACUGUUGUCAGAAAAUGACUAUCCUCAUUAACAGUAAUUUAUUAAUUUUUUUUAAUAUACUUUGUUCAUGUGAGGUUGUGUUUUCAAAAUCUUCCAAGAAAAAAAGGGACUAAAUGAUGAACCAAAUUGAAUUUCACGCUCCUAAUUUAAUAAAUUAAAAUUUUCAAGCUCUAAAGUUAUAUCCUUAGCACCAUACUCUAUUAAGGAAAAGCUCUAAUAUUUUUAUCAAAAGUUUAUAAUUUAAUAAUCCAAUCUUAAAACAAUACUUUAAUUGUUGAUAUAAAAAUUUAAAACUGAUCUAAUCAAAAGAGUUCAAAACUAAAUGGAAAAAAUAAUUAAAAUAUAAAACUAACUAGAAAAGUAAUUAAAAUAACAAAAAUAAAAUCUUUUGAGCUUAAUUUGAAAAGAUUUGUGUGGUGGAUGUUCAAACAUAUAGUUUUGAAACCCGAUCCGGUGAUCGACCCGGUUUAAUGAUCGGGUCACGGGUCCAAUGGGUUGACCCGGGUUAAUCCAGGUCAACCUAAAAAAAAAAAAAAAAAACUAAUUAAAGGGCAUUUUAUGAAUCAGGGGCAGGGCCGGGCGGUUAAAGAGGAAGAGCUUAUAUAGGCUCCAUUGCUAAAUUAACCUAAUGAGGUGAAAUUUAUCUUCCCCUCCAAUUUGAAAAUAUUUUGAUUGAGUUCAGGGCACAGAGCCCUAGACAAUGAAAAUUAGUAUUCCCCUCCUAUUCAACUUGAGAAGAAUCUUGUCCUCACCUAAAGCAUCUCCUACAUUCCAAAGGCUAGAAGUCUGCUUUCUUCGUAUUUGAGCAUCUUUGCCUCUUUUACUCUGAAUAGAGAAGGAGCUGCUCUAGAAUGCCCUCUUUUGAGGUGCAGAUGAGGUGGAGGAAUCGGUUGUGCACAGUUCCUACUGGGAGGUAUAGUAAAGAAGGUAUAAUCAAUUGGUUUUUCAAACUGUAGCAUAGACACUUGUUUGCCACAGUGGGGGUAGGUACUUUUAGUAAUGAUGAAGAUGAAGAUUUCAGAUGAGGAUUUGGAGAGGCCAUUGGCCAUUUCAGAUGAAGAUUUCAGCCGGGUUUCAGCUGGGUUUACCCGGGUCAACCAGGUUUCGGGUCGACCCGCCGGGUCUACGGGGUUUCACCGGGCCAACUCCCAAGCUAGUUUUUUCUUAGACCCAGACCGGUCCUAGGCCAGGUCGGCUGGGUCCCGGGUCGACCCGUUGGGCCGGUCCGGGUUUCAAAGUGUUUUUCGUUGACUAGAAAGUAUUUUCCGUUAACUAACUUUUCUAAUGAUAAACAAAUACAGGAAAGUUUGAAAAAUGGUUUCCCAGAAAUUAGUUUCCGGGAAACAAACAUGGCCUUAGUAGACCUAGGAAGUCAAGUUUUCUAAUUAUCCACGUCAUCAAUCUCGAUCCCAUCAAAAAUUAAUUUGGUCGAAGAAAGAAAAAAAAAAUUAUCAAUUAUUUUCAAGCUUGUGGAACGGGUGUUCCUCCAUUUUCUUGUUUAACUGUUUUCUUUGCAGACUUGGGAAGUCAUAUGUUAUGAACAAUUGAUUUGAUCUUGUAAAAUUUAUGGCAGAAGAGAUUAGAAAAUGACUUCUUCUUUCAAUAAUCUUCUUCUUUGUGAAAUGAUUUCCCGAUACAGCUCUUAAUUUCAACACCUGCUUGCUCUUCUUUUCUUAGUAGACCUGGGAAGUCAAGAUUCCUAAAUAUCCACAUCAUCAACCUCGACCCCAUCAACAAUAGUGCCCACCAGGAAAAAUUAGUUUCUGACGGUGAGAUUUGUAUAGCUAGUAAACAUGCUCAACCAAUAAUCAUAAAUGAUGCCAAAAUUGUAGUCAAAGAGACUUGGAACUCCCUGAUGAUGGUCUCUAGCUCUGGAGGUUUAUUCUGCCAAAAUUGCAUGGGCCGUUUUACAGCCUUCGUAAUGGGCUUGGCUACUUUGGGUAAUUAAAAAAACCCAAAUCGAUAAUGUUUUUUUUUUCCUUCGGUAUCCGUUUAAUCAAUCUUCUGGUUUGAUCCUUGAUAGUGCUGUGUUUUGAUGCUUGUCGAUUAGCCACAAUAAUGUUAAAUUUACAAGGACAGGUCCAAGAAAAGCAAUGCAGGCCUGUAUUGGUCUCUGGGAGUCCGCUGAUAAAGGCUGCAAUCAUUGCUUGAACCCUUGUAAAGGGGCCUUUACACAUGAGGUCCACUGAAGAAGUACAACACCGUUUUUUAUUUAAUUCUUAUGGUUUAAAUCUACUAAUAACUUAGUCAUUUUGCAUGCUAUUUUCCACUUGUUUUGUAAAAUAGAGAAAAGAACAAAGUAAAUCUUUUUUUUUAGUUUAUGGCAUGUUCUCAAAAGUUUUAUUGAUAUUAAUUAAAUAACAAAGACAUUGAUGUAGCUGAAAAUUGAGAACGAGAGGGAUGAUCAGGAAUGGAUUAAGCAAAUUGGGCUUGAAAAAGACCCAACAGCAGAGAAAAAUCUGAAAUAAACUCUUGAUGUUCAAAAUAGCCCACAAGCAAGGCUUAAAUAGUUAGGGCUGAGAAAAUUACCAAAAUAGGUAAAUACUGAUUAUUCAAUAAAUAUAGAAACUUCCUGGAAUAAGUUUGAUAUCCUUUAAUUUUUUUACCGUCUUAGAACAGUUUAUCCUGUUCGAUUCCGCUUUGCUUCGACCGACCACAAUGAUCCCAUAUCCAUCUAUACAAAAAUCGAUUAAGCUGUCCGUUGACACAUUAACUUCUCUGGCUCCAUUCCAUCCUGGAUUAGCAAUCUUUCCCGGAUCAUUUAUGCCCGUUAGAACUGUUAAGCAUGUUGGAUAUUUUGCAUAAUAAGCUCUCGGGUCCUUUAUCCUCUUGUUUGUCCAAUUUAACUUUCAUGGCAAACGAUGCAAAAUGCUAUCUAUCUUUUUUUUGUUUUUUAACUCUGGGUGUCCGGGUCAGUUUACGCGCACCACAACUAAUCUCAGGACCUACUGAACAUCCUGCAAGCUCAGUAGGCAAAUAAAGUACCGCCGGGGUGACAGACUGGUGCACAGCGAGGAUCGAACUCGGGCAAUUGACCACUGAGUUAAACCCUCAAGUGUCAGCCCUACAACUUGGCCUAGUAUUCAAUAUUUUGAUAAGUCAAAUCUUGUACUCAGAGGCGCAACUAAGGGGUGGCAAGUAGGGUCGGGCCCUGCAACCACCCCUACAAAAUAUUUUAGAAUUUAUUUUUAUUUCGUUAGUUAUUUAUAAAUUUAAAAUUGCCUCUUCGUAUAAGUUGGAAAAAAUAAAAGAUAAAUAAUUUUUUCAAUUUAAUUACUUUUCUUUAUUGUUUUUUUAUUUCCAUUCUCUAAAAUCCUAACCAAAAAAAUAUAAUAAUACAAAGCAAAAAGAAAAAGUUAAAACAAAGUUAUCAAUUAAUUCAUUGUUCAUUGAAACAAGAUAAUUAAUGACCCAAAUUUAAAAUCUUUUGUUUUUUUUGUUUGUUAAGAAUUUGCUUAGAUGUAUAUAUAUAUAAUUAUGCUUCUUUUUUUUAUAGAUCUACUAGGUUUAUCAUUUUUUUAUUUCUUGCUAUAGUGAAUGUUGUUUUUUUGUAAUGAAUUGGAUAUAUUUUAUGGGUUUAUUUUGAUUAUACAUAUAUAUUUUUUUGUUUUGUUUUUAGCAGAAUCGUUAAAAUUAUCAAUUUUUUUCUCACAUAUACCUUACUAUCACCAGAUCCAAUAUAUAAUUAGACACGAUUUUUCUAGCCAAAUUAAGUUCUUUGAAAAACACAUGCCUAGUUUUAAUUCAAUUUAAGUUUUCUUUUUUAGAAAUCAAUAAUUUCAUUUUUUAUGUUAGAUUUGUUUUUAUAUAUCUUUUUUUUUAAUAUGUUGAUUUUGCUUUUAUAAGCCAAUAUGGUUUACAUGUAACAAAUUAUAUUUUAUUAUAUUAGUUUUGACCCUUCCUGUUAAAUAAUCUCAGCUACGCCCCUGCUUGUACUGAUGGGUUUGCCUCAAGUAGGCUAUUCUUAUCGUGAAAAUAAGUUCACAAACAACAUUGCAGAUUAAUCUGUCGAGUUCUCAACAAAAAGACAGUCUUACUCCUAUCGAGAUGAUCUUCUUCCUUUCAUGUCUGGUAUUGAUUUUUCUUACAACGGAUUCACUGGCAAAAUCCAACCAAAUUUUGAAAUUGUAAGUGAGCUACGAGCGGUAAAUCUAUCACACAUUAAUCUCAUUGGAUCCAUCCCCGCAACUCUUUAGAACCUGAAGCAGAUUGAGAGUUUGGAUCUUUCUCACAGCAAAUUGACCGGUACGGUACCAUCCCUUCGCAGCUAUUGAGGUGAGCACAUUGGAGGUUUUCAGUGUUGCAUACAAUAACUUGUCCGGUAAAACUCCAGAGAGGAAAGCUCAGUUCGGAACCUUUGAUGAAAGUAGUUAUGAGGGAAAUCCUCUUCUUUGUGGACCUCCAUUGCGAAUUUGCAGUGAAACAAACUCGUAAUUGCGCAGCCUGUACCUAAUAAUGAACAAGAAGAUAAUAAUGGUUUCGUAGACAUGGAUGCUUUCAUUGUGAGCUUUGAGGCAUGUUACAUAAUUGUGUUGUUGGCAAUUGCAGCAGCUCUUUACGUAAAUCCUUACUGGAGAAGAAGAUGGUUUUACUUCAUUGGAGAGUGCUUAAGCAAUUGCUACUGUUUUCUAGUGGUUAAUUUCCGUAAGCUGUCCAACAUCAUGUCAUCGGACCUCUGUAUAAUCAUUCAAUUAGAUGACACAUUUAAAAAUUUUAAAAACUAAUAAUACUAUAACUAUGAAGAACACCUAAAAUAUUUAAUUUUAUUCUUCCAAGUCUCUGCUAAACUAAUGAUACACAAUUGUGGUACUAGCAAUUGCGGGAGUUUUGUACAUAAACCCAUAUUGGCGACAUAGGUGGUUUUACUUCAUUGAAGAGUGCAUGGAGACUUGCUACUUUGAAUUGCAUACAUUUCAUAAGCUAUCCUCCUUCAUAAGGCCAUAGGGUCUGAUGCGUGCCUUUUGUUUUUUCAUAUUUUUUAGUUUGAACUAAUAAAACCUUUACUUUUUUUCAAGCUUCAGUUCAUUUUAUUGCAGUUUCUCAAAUGAAUUCUACAAAUUCAAGAUAUAUAUGCAUCCUUAAUGCCAUAUUAAAAAGAAUAUAUAGAUAGAAGAAGAGGAGCUUUACGUGAUAUGGAUAGCGUGAUGCUCCUAAGCCUAGAACCAGCUAAAACUUAAUAUUAUGAUGAAUAAUUCAGCAAAACUUAAUUCAAUUUCAACUUCCAAUCUCAUCAUUAGUACAAAAUGCAGAGUCAGAUUGAAAGGAAAUUGAUUGGAACUUGAAAUUCAGGUAACAAUACUUCUAGCAGAGCUUCCUCCUUAGCCUCUCCCUAUUGUAUCUUCUUCGAGUGGAACUCUUAGCUUUUUGCCCUCCAAGAUAUAUGUUCUCAUCUUUCUCAAGUACUCUCUUUUCCAUCCAGCAUAAGCAAUCACAACUUACCUCAACGGAAAACUUUAUAGCCAACUUCAAGUCUUCAACCAAUAUUUAAAAGGAAUUUUGUCCUUUGUUUGAUAAGCAAAAUCAACAGAACCUGUCGUUGACUUUCUAGCUCAUAUAUAGCAGUAGCCAUUUUAAGGAGCAGAAACAAACACUGUAGAGAUUUAUCAUCACGAAAAUCUAGUUGAAGCCAACUACAUCAAAACUCCACAGCCAAUGUAUUAAUCUAGUUCUGUAAGCCUACACCUUUGGCAUUUUUAUAUAAACUUAUAUCCUAGCUUAAUAACAAGUAUUUUAGUUACUGGAAAAUAAAUAGAUAAGAUAAUCCUAACUUAAUCUAAAUUAAAUAGUUAACACAAUAACACAAAUCAAAACUCAGGAAACAAGAAACAAGUGUGAAUUGAGUUAAAACAAAUAUGAAAUCAAAUAGAGGAUGGAAAGUUUAUUUUUAGAUCAAGAAUAGCAUGUAUUAAAAAGAUAAUAAAUAAAAUUAGAGUAAUAACAUUGCUACAACUUAUCAUUAAAUUUCAUUUGCAAUUUCCUCUCAAUUUUCUGUAGUUUUGUAGAGACAAAGAUUAGUUGGUCCUUACGGGAAUUUUUCUUCCUUAAUUUCACUCCCAUUUUCCAAACGAUGGAAUUCAUACAACCUUUCGAUUUUAUUUCCACGUAAAAUCCAUUCUUCUGUAUCAAACAGAACAUAAUAAUGGGCCAUAUUUUAAUUUAAAUAUCUUUUUCCUAAUAUUUAAAGCCUUUUUGCUGGGAAAAUGGGGAUUUGAGAGAAAAGACAAUAGAUAAGAAAGGACAUAAAAAAAAGUGAGAGAAAAUGAUGGUGGGUCUUCAUUCUUCAAGGACCGUAUUGGAACUCCUUGGAGGCAUGCGUGAGAGGUGAAAUGGAAAAGUAUAGGGAUCAAAGUGUAAUUUCAAUGAAUAUAUAGGGCUUAAAAUACAAUUUACCCUUAAUUUUUCAUGGAUGACGCAGUCACAAGGGGAGGAUAGAGGUCAUUUCUGAAAUGAUAAGACAGGCAGUGACAAUAAGUAAAAUUUUGUAAAUCAUCAUCAAUAAGAAAUCAUGACGUGGGGACAGAUCAGACGGUUGAUAGUGACUCUUUUUACCCGCUCUCUUUCUCUCCGUGGGGGGUUUUAGGACAGUAUCGCGCGAGAUGCGCGGGUGCCGUGUUCUUACAUUUCCAAGGUGCAUAGUGGGAUCCAUGUCUUUAUCCAACCAAUUAAAAUCUUGUACUCCUUGGGACCCACUCGGUUUCUAGUUUUUUCUUUUUAAAAAAACAAAUUCAUAAAAGCCCUCAACCUUCGAGGCUCCUCUCAAGCUAGUCUCAUCUCUAUCAUAGCAAUAUUAGAAUUUUUAUUCAUUUUUAGUUAACAGAAAAUUUAAGUAAUCACUUGAAAUUUAUAUGGUUUUUUUUAUAUCACUUGAAAUUUAUAUGGUUUUUUUUAUAUCACUUGAAAUUUAAGUAAUCACUUGAAAAAAUUCUCAUUUUAAAUCGCUUGAAACUAAUUUUAUAAAGAAACACAACCAUCUUACAUUUUUAUAAUUUAUAUAAUUUGUUUAAUUACAUUAAAAAAUGAUAUAAUAAGAUGAAGAGAAAUCACAUAAAUGUUUGAUUUUAUAGCCCUUUAAAACAAACUCAUCAAAAUAUUUAAUCCAAAUUAUAGACUCUAAUAUGAAUAAAUAGAACUGGGCUAACUAAAAAAAAGCAUGUUCAUGUAAAAUGACUAGUCUGACUAAAAAAAUCUAAAUUUCAUUUCGACCUUUAAAUCAUUUUUAAAUUUAAACAAGAGAUUCUAGGUCUCAAUUCUAUAAAAAGGUGGCCUCGGCUUGAUGUUUGAGUCAAUUUCAUUCUAGUCUGCAUGGCAAUGGUCCCACUCAAUCGCAGUAUCCACAUGAGCAGAGUCUAAUGAACUACUCAACAUGCAUUUGGUUCUGGUAAUUCAAUUAUGCGAAGGGUGUAGGUUCGAAUUCUUCGACUUAAACGAACAUGUUUGCGUAAUUAAGUGUUCAAUCACGUACUUCGCUAUUGAAAACAUUUAGAAUUUAUCAACAAUUCAAUUAAGCAGGUAUAUACAGACUUCCAACAUCUGUAGAUAUCAUUGAAUCAUUAGUGAACACUGAGUAGACCGAGAUCCAGAUCAAAAUGUGUCACUUAAGCUCUUAAUAUUACAGAAAACUUACAAUUGCCCUGAUGGUUAGCACAAAAGACCGGCUUGGAGUUCAGACUAGCCAAAUUGCCCAACUCUUUAAGCCUGAAUUUUAUCACCAUCAUAAAAUGGGGAAAUUAGUUUAGAUAUACAAGGCGAAAUGGAAUUAAUUACCUCACAUUUUGAACUUCAGAUUGGUAAUGCAUGACCACUUGCAGGUCCUCCUAGUGUUAGAACCACACCUUGAAGAUCACUUCUUGGAUUUGAUUCUUUGGCUAAUGAUGGAGCAGCUCUGAUUACCGGAUAUGUUCUGGUCACUUGAGUUUGUCGAGAACUAUGACUGGAUUCUUGUCCUGAGAAUGUUGUUGGAUGAUGAGAAGGCUUCAAGGUAUCAGUAUGAUUGGAGUUUGGAAAUUGAUGAACAAUGGGGAUUUGAGUUGCUGGUGAUGCAUGAUUUUGAGCUAGAAUUGCCCCUCUCGAUACGAAACCAGGUGCCUGAUAGAUAAAAUUAGGUUUCAAUUCGAGUUCGAAAUAUACUGCAACUGAGGAAGUAAUGAGGAGCUUACAGGUGAAAACAAGACCCCUCUGAAAAUCUUCCCAUUAACAGUUGCAGUCAUUAAAAGGCCUGAGUCGAAGGCUCCGUCAACUUUACCUCGAACUUCAGCACCAACCUAUGGAGAAAGAGAAGAAAGUGAAAAGCAUGUAUUAGCAGAACAGGAAGAAAAACAAAGACAGGAAAAAUUGUAAUCGACAAUGUUUUGCAUUGCAUAUAUCAACUUAAUGAUUUACCAGGUUUUGAAUACACCCUGGCUCCAUGGGUUUAUGUUCCACUGCUGGGAAUGGUGUUCCUUGCCUGCCCAACCCUGCAUGAACAUAUUGCUCUACUCUUUUAUUCUCUCUUGAAAUUUGGAGCCUUUGCCGGGUUUUUUGGAUCACAAGUCUAGGUAGUUUCUGAUUACUUGCAACACUAUCAGCCUGGUAAUUUCUUGGAAUUUUGUUUAACUGCCUAAAGAAAUUAAGUCCUUUGCAAGAUGUGAGGGAAUCAACUGAUUUCUGAACCGGUAUCUGUUCUUGGUCGGACUGAGACGGAGAUGAAUGGUGAGAGGGUGAAAGAGAAUGCUCUUCUUGUUCUAAAUCAAUCUCCCAUGCUUUUGAAUUUGUAGGUCUUAUCUUCUUAUGAUGCAGAGUAUCUGAAAGGAACGUUGUAGGUUUUUGUUAUUAAUACUACCUGAACUGAACUGAAAAGGUUGCUUUGAUUCUUCUGAUUCAUAUGAGCCCUUCAUGUCUAUUUCAUUGUUUCCCAGAAACAUUGACUGCUUCACAGAACAAAAUUAAUAACCCUCCCAACUUGAACAGGCAUAUUUAACAGGAGGUCAAGUGUUUGCAUUUUGAGAGUAAAUAGUUUAGUUACCGAAAUAUCUUCUGCUCCUGGGAGAAAUCUCUUUUCUUGAUUCCAAUGUUGUCCAAAGAUCUUGCACAUGGGAAUGUUGUAUCGACCAUUGGGAUGUUCUGCUCCAAGUUGCAAGACCAACAACUGAUUGAGAGGACGCUCAUCCUCUCUGCACCUGCACAUACAUACACACACACAUACAUACAUAUAGAAUUGAAUUAGGAGAUACAUGAAGAUUAUGGGAGGCAGUGUUGAGAACAGAAGCUGCAGAUGCGAAACAAAAACUUUCAGUUACCCUCCAUAGAUGACAAUAUCUGAGUCGGUGACAACCGCAGUGUGAGAAAACCUCCCUUGAGGUUGCUGGCCAGAUAUAUCAAGUUGAAUCCAUGAACAAGUACUCACAUCAAGCACCCAAACAUCAUUGUAGUAAUGUUUGUCCCCAACACCUCCAAUGACAUAAAGCUGCAGACCAUGGAAAGCACAUUAAAUCUCUUUCCAAAAGCCAACAAUUGAUAAAGGAGCAUCGAAGAAUCAAAGCCUUCAAGCAAAAACAGGUGAGCAUCAAUAGCACAGACAACAGAAUAGGGUAUAACAUUCCGAAGAAAAACUAGUCUAAUUUUCAAAUCUAUUUCAGUGCCAUGACUUGCCUUUGUUCCAAUAUAUAUAUAUAUUAGAGAUUGGUUGGUUAUUUAAAUUAAUUAUUGAUAUCCAUCAUUUUUUUAAUUCAAAGUUUUCUCUAUAGUUUAGGAAGAACGAGAAAUUUUAGAGAUUGAGAAACCCUAUAUUUUAUCCUUUGUUAAAUGUGGCAUCAAGUUAGGAGUAAGCCUUCUAGUUUAAUAGAUCAUAGAUAUAACACAAAUAUCUAUGUUCAUGUUAAAUAUUAAUGAACAAUGUUAUUUGGAUUUCUGUACUCUUAUAAUUGUUCAUUUGUAGAAUUGAUGGAGGUUCUUCAAUAGUUCUUCCAUGGAAUAGUUUAAAGAUCAGAUUUUAAUUACCUUCAGCAGGUAUGGUGCUAUGGAAGUCGACUCCGGUUAAGGAUAGGACUUUAAGAGUAGACAAGGGUCUCAUUUUCCUAAGAAAGCUUGCUGGGAGAGAAGAAUAAUCGAGGAACACUUCUUCCAGGCUAGACGAAUUACACAACCCUGUAGAACAGAUAAAAUAAAUCCAUUAAUAUAUUAUAAAUAUCAUAUUGUUUUAGGCACCAAAACUGUCACUGACCUUUCCCAAAGUGUUUAAAUUUACUACCACUUGCUUGUAAGGUCUUGAGGGAUGGCAACGCUCCCAAUGACUCUAUCAAAAUGCUUUCCUUGAAGUCAAUCAUUUCCAGAUACAAGAUUUCUAAAUUCCUUAAACCUGUGAUAUAGAGAACAAUCAAUAAUAAUUAUUUACAAUAAUUAAAUAAUUUUUAAUGUUAGAGUUAAUAUAUACAAGACAUAGCUUAAGUUAUUAAAUUAAAAUAAUUUUUAAUAUAAUAAUUAAAUAUUCACGAGAAUCAUAUCACCUUUAUUUAUUUUAAAAAAUUAAAAACAAAAUUAAUUAUGUGUAUAUUUAAGUUUCAAUUACUUCAAAAUUACUUCACUUAAAAAAUUACGAUAAAGAAUUAGUUAUAUAAAGCCUUUUUAAAGGUUCAUUUAAGCAAAUUAAUGGUCAAUCACACAUCUAAUUAUUAAACAAGUUAACUAAAGAAUAGAUUAAGCAAAAACAAUAUAUAUAUAUAUAUAUAUAUAUGUUCAACGAAAGUUAUGAUUAAGACACAUCUAAUUAUUAAAUAAGCUUAAUAAAAAAUAAAUUAAGCCUCACUAAAGACAUGCGCAGGUUCCGAGAACAAGUUGACUCUUGUCAAGGUGGUGAGCUCGGUGAAGGCAUUGUAAUACUCAGAGUAUGAAAAUAGAUAUGGAUCAACCUUUAAUGGGUUGCCCCCAUAGGUAAAGGUGGAGAGCUACCUGGACUCUUGAGACUAAGAGUGAGAGACUCACAGAGAAGUAAGGCGUGGUUCCUAGGGUGGAACAGAGGGCAGAUGCAACUCCUGGGUGAGUAGACUCUUGGAAGUAUGGUGAGCUCGUGAUCAUAUUGAGAUACUCAAAUAAUGACUGUCGCACUUGGAAAUGGAAAUUUCCGUUUGAGGGGGUGUUGUAAGCCUUGGUGUGAGGCUUGAUGAAUCAUUCCGGACCGAGCAUGGUUAAUACGCUCGAAGGGGAAUGUUGUGUCCCAGAGACAAGCGUGAACACUCUUCAGAUGUGAAGUGGCAGACCAUCUGGUUGUAGUGAUCCUUUUGUGUGAGAAAAGGUGUACUUUGGUGACUCUGGUGAUUGAAAGGUGUGGCAAGUACCUGUAAACUUGGCCGGAGAUGCUCUCGGAAUGGUAAGCUUGGAAGAGUUGCAAGAUGCAAGCUUGUGCUAAAGAAGUAAGCGGGCAACUGCCCAACAUGAAUGGCAAAGGGGGUGAUUGUUGGGUUGGUUGCCAUUGCAUGUGCAACCUACCCUAUAAAGAAGUAGGGUUACCAUUUGUCAAUGGUGGUUGCACCCACCAUUGACAAAUGUAUCAACCCAUGUGCGGCUGCUGUUAUUGAAGAAGAAGAGCCACCAUCCUUGCCUAUAAAUAGGCACCAAGAAAGAGAGCAAAAUGAGAGAGUUGUGAGAAUGUAAAGAGUGUGAAGAGAGAAAGAAAGAGAAGGGCUGCUGCCUUAUGCAGCUGCUGCCCUAUGCAGCAAUGAGAGAUGGGAGUUGAGUGGAUGUGAUCCUCCUCCAUGUUUGUAUUCUUUCUCUAUCUCUAAAUAAUAUAGACUCUCUCCCGUGGAUGUAGGCGAUCUGCCGAACCACGUUAAAUAUUGUGUCAGUGUGCUUGCUUUUCGUUGAGCAAUUAUCAGUACAUCACCGGUCGGAGUUUCCCCAACAUUCAUGUACGCCUGAAAGGAGCCAUGGAAUUUCAACAAUGCCAUCUCCAAGGAGCCAUGGAACUUUAAAGUGGGAUGUCGUGUACGCCUGAAUUGUAUAGUGACAAUGGUGGAACUGAUGCGGUUGCAUAGCACCAACCAGUACUUUCCUAAUGAUUUCCUUGCGGAAAAAAUUAAGGCAUGUUGGAAAACGAUGCCACCCUAACAAUUAAUCCAAGAGUUCAAAUUCAACUUGAAUAAAAGCACGAUAAAUGGAUAAUUUAGAGGAGAAAGGAUCCAAGAACAUCAUGAAGGGAUGGUUCUAUUUUGUUACGCAACAAUCUCAACAGCUAAUUAAGAGGUUAGAUUGUAGGGUCUAAUUUCAAGUGCAAGACUCUAUUGAUUCUCAUCAUUAUAGUAAUAAAACCAUGACCAUUUUUAUUAAAUUAAGAGGAAACACAAAAUUAAACAAGAAAAUCUUAAGAGUUCAGAAAUAAAUCUAACAUUGUCGAACAGACUGUGAGCAAACCCAGAUUUGGUGGAAGAUAGAAAUAUGAAGAGAGAGCAGAAAUUGAUGGUCUCCUUGUUUUUCAUGGUCUCCUUGUUUUGCAUUUAAGGUUCGGCCAUCUAAGCUUCUCAUUGGGUUUUAAUUUCCUGAGUUAAUUUCAUCAUGGCUGGACUUGAAUAUCUCUAUAUAUACACUUAAGGCUGGGUGAGCUUGUCUCUUUAGCAGGCCUUCUUAGGCUUUUGUUCUUUCAAACAAUGUCAGCUCUAAGCCCAUUAUUUUACAGAAAAGGUAAAAUACACUUGUCAUGGCUGAUUGAAAUCGUGGAAGAAAAAACUAGAGGAAAGAUAACCGAUUGACCCCCAACGAAGACCAAUGCAGAGGAAUUUCAAAGGGGAAAAAAGGUGGCGGCUUUAUGAUGCAGUUCAUCUAAAGAUAAACCUAAUCUGAAUUAAUUGUUCGGUCUCCUUCAAAGCGAAAUAACUUUGCCAGGUUUCCUCCCAGUGACAUUACAUUAUUAAAGUUAAAAGCGCUGAAGCACAAUUCAAAGACAAUAAGUAGUAUUAAACUUAAUAAGCUAGUUCAAUGGAGGAGAAUGGUGUGCUGAAACACUAUGAUUUUCAAAAAAAUUGAAGCAUAUCAGAUCCAUGCUGCUGCAUUCGCAAGAAACGAGCACCCAUCAACAAUGUGCUAAAUGUCAAUGCAGAGCUUUAAAUCAUCUACAGAGGCUCAUGAAGAAAAUAGGCAUAAAUGAUAACAGAUAACACACCAGAGCACUCUACGUAAACUGAUAUCUUUAGAAAAUUCAAAGGCAUGAAUGAAAAAGAAAAGCGAGGAAUAUCUAAGUCAACUCUUAAUUUGUAACAGUCCACAACUUCAUGUUUGGUGUGUACUGUAAACCAUGCUCUCCACAUAAUCACGAGCUUCAUCUGCAAAAAACCAUUUUCACUUCUGGGGACAAGGGAUCAAACAAAUAUAAACCUGUUGUUGGAUUACAUUCAUAAUUUAUAUCAAGCCCUAGCUGCUGCUCGAAGGUAAGAAUUGGCUGGUUGCUCAGCACAACAUAACUGAUACAAACAAUUACUGAUACAAGCAAAGGACAAACACAAGUCACAUCAAAACAGAAAGGCUAAGCAACAAGAACACUUCUCACAGGCAAAUUGCUAAACAUGUAGUUAGCAACCAUUGAUUUGGAAUGCGACUGCUUCUCCACAGAGGAUUACAACAAAUUCAGAAAGCAGCCCACACGCUCCUGAUAAGAUCCAAUCACCUUCUGAAUCUGGACAACUUGGGAAAGUUUAUAGCCAAAAAGCAGCAGCAAGUGUCAAUGCAUUCUUCAAUGAAGUAAAACCAUCUGCGUCGCCAAUGCGGAUAUAUGCACAGUACUGCUGCAAUUGUCAACACCACAGUUAUGUAACACCCACCAAAGCUGGCAUAGAAACUGUCCAUGUCUAUGAAGCCACCAUCUCCAUUGAAAUCGUUAGGCACUCUAGCGGAUGGUGAUUCUGUUUUGUCGCAACUUUUUUGCAAUGGAGGUCCACAAAGAAGAGGAUUCCCUUUAUAACUGCUCUCAUCAAAGGUACAAAUUGAUUUUUCAUCUCCGGUGUUCUUCCUGACAAAUUAUUGUACGACACGUUGAAAACUGCUAAAAGGUCAGUUCAACGAGUUGUGCAGGAAUUCUCCCAUUCAAAUUGUUGUGAGAAAGAUCCAAGCUCUCUAUCUGCUUCAGAUUGAGAAGGAUGAAGGGAUCAAUCCAGUGAGAUUAUUUGUGACAGAUUUAGAGAAUAUAUCCCACUUAAGUUUCCCCAUUCUGUCGGGAUUUCUCCAGUGAAUCUGUUACAAGAAAGAUCCAUAACAGACAUGUAACGAAGGAUAUCGCCUUCGUAAGUGUAGAAAUUUUUCUUUGUGUAAGCUCUACAGAUAUUUUUACACUGAUCUCUGGCACAAAGUUUUGUAUAAGAUAAAAAGCCACGUUCAAAAAUUCUUUCAGGUUCCAUCAUCUUUUGAUCGUAAAGUUAACCAAGUUUUUUCAUCUGAUGCCGUAAAAUUUAAAUUGCUCAAACAUGAGGGUAACAGACCAGAAAAAUUAUUUUCUGAAAGAUCCAAUAUGCUUAAUUUCCUUAACAAGCAUAACUGAUGAGGAAGUUUCCCAUUGAAUUGAUUAGAUUUGAGAACAAAAAUGCUCAAUUCCGAAAGGCUAUCAAUCCAAUUUGGAAUGGGCCCAGUUAAGUUGUUAUCGCCGAGAUCUAAUGUCACCAACGAAGAGAGAUUAUAAAAAUCAUAUGGCAGUGGACCGCUCAAUUGAUUUCCGUAAGGUGGACAUAGCGUAAAUCUGAUGCAUGGAAGCCCAACGGUAAUGACCCAGACAGAUUGUUUUCAGAAAGAUCUAAAAAUUCAAGCCCAGAAGAAUUGAAAUAUUCUAUUGGAAUGGUACCUUCAAAAUGAUUUCUGGACAAAUCAAUUCCCUCAAGUGUUUUUGAAGAGUUCCCAUUCCCCUUGGAAGCAUGCCUGACAAAAGAUUGUUACUGAUAACCAACCACGAAAAUGAUGAUGCAAGAGAAAAGGUACCCGAUACUUGUCCUGCAAAUUUGUUUCCAUCGAGAAAGAGGUAGUCUAGGUGAGUCAUGUUGAACACAGAUGGUGGUAAUCGCCCAUUGAAGCUGUUGUUGGACAGCUUCAAAAACCACAAUGAGGAGCCUACUGUUGGCAAAUUAUGCUCAAGCAGUUCACAAGACAUGUGAUUGUUGGAAAGAUCCAAGUAUUCGAGAGAGCUCAUAUUCCCAAAACAAAGAGGAAUACAACCUGUGAGGCUGUUGUUGGCCAUCAUGAAGUUCUUCAAACGUGGAAAAAUCGAACAUAUGUUUCUUGGAACUUGACCAUGUAUGUUGUUGCCAGACAUAUCUACUGUCUGAAGGUUGGGUGUUGGAUGUUGUGGCAGCUGCAAAGGACCUAUAAAUGAGGUGUCUCUCAAAUAUAGUCGAUUUAACUUUCUAUUAUUCUCAAACAGCCAAGAUGGGAAAGGUUCUCCAACGAAUUUGUUGUGGGAUAGAUCAACAAACAUCAAAUCAUGUUGGCUAUGGAGGAAGUUUGGAAAUCCAGCCUCGAGUGGUUUUGGAGUACAGUUUGAAGCACUAAAAACACGAAGCUGGAACUUGGGAGCUGAAAGCUGAAAACUGGGUGCAGCUAUUAGCUCAUUGUUAUCGCAUUCAAAGAGCUUGAG